GAAUAUAUCCUCUUUUAUAAUCACACCAGCAUUUAAAACCACGACAUUCCAACAUAUACCUAUCCUUUCUCAUACAAUGACGUGCACAUUCUUGACAAAAACCAAUUUCGUUCGUAGCAGCAUGGUUUCCAUGAAUUUCAUAAUCGGGAAGUUGAUUUGGGCUUGCUGCUGGAUUGGACAUAUGAGUUUCAUCGCCAAAAAUAGAUUUUGUCAAAAUAUUUGACGCACUUAUAAAAUUUUUCAAACAAAUGUUAGUUAUAGUUAUUAUAUUUUAAUAAAGGUUUUUGAUAUUUUAUAUAUCAUCUUUUCUAGCAAAACUAGGCUUACAUGAUAAAACAAGAAAUAAAAGAGUGAAAAACAAAACAUUUAUCUUCAUUCCUGUUUUGGAAGUUCAACAACAGCUGUAAAAAGUGAGUUUUGGUUGAUGUUUUAAGUUUAUUUUUUUGUGAAAUUUAUAAGUUUAGUUGUGUCAUAUUUAUAGCUGUUUUCACCUAUGUUACACAAUAGUAAUAGUUUAAUCAACAUCUUUUAAGUAAUUAAUAGACAUUAGAAAAACUGUUCUUUUUUUUAAAUAAUAGUAUUCGUUUUCAAAUAUUCAUAUAAGUGUAAUGGUAAUUAUUAUUAGUCAUUAAUUGUUAAGCGUAGAUAAAAACAGUAUUUUCAUUAUUGUAUAUUUAAUUUUUUAUAUAGAGAGAGUGAAAUAGAGUAUGAAAUCCAACUUGAGAUCAUUAUCGAUAAAAUAUAUUAGUUAUCAAUGUUAUAAGUUUUAUUUUUAGUAGUAUAUUUUUCUACUAACAGUAUCAAAUGUAAGAACACAAACUCGACUUUGAAAUGGUUUUAUAUAUGCCUGGUGAUUUAGCAAAUUUUCGUGUCGACGCACGUAGUUGUUGGUGCAUAUUAAUAAGUAUUAAAGAGAAUUUUCGAUAGCCAAUUUUUUAUCACCAAGCGAGUUUUCUCCGAAUUUUUACCCAUAUUUACAUGGUACUAGAACAAAUUUUUGUGUAAAUAAUUAGCUUUGAAAUUUUUUCCAGCAUAACCAGUUUUCAUUUCAGAGUUCUUUCAAGAUGAAUUAUAGAGAAGAGAAACUGUACAUUGAGAAUUUUUAUAGGAUCGUAAAUAUAUCCUGUAUAGUAAUACACUUUUUCUCAAUGUACACUUUCUCUUAAUCCACUCAAAGUAGUAUGAAAGUGUUAUUGAAAAAAGUUCAUAGUUUAUAUAAAAUUGAUCUCUUUUUGUUGUGGUUAAUAACAUUGCACAAAAUUUAUGUCCAAUACAUUCAUGCGUAGAUAACAUAUAUAUUUUUAUAAAGUGUAAAUAAUAUAAAGUUUCAAUGAAAAACUAACACUGAUUUGAAAACAAACGUCUUAUUAUUUUUCAAUAAUAUAUAUUUCAAAGAAAAUACAACAGUUUAUCCUGGAAUAUAUCCUCUUUUAUAAUCACACCAGCAUUUAAAACCACGACAUUCCAACAUAUACCUAUCCUUUCUCAUACAAUGACGUGCACAUUCUUGACAAAAACCAAUUUCGUUCGUAGCAGCAUGGUUUCCAUGAAUUUCAUAAUCGGGAAGUUGAUUUGGGGUUGCUGCUGGAUUGGACAUAUGGGUUUUAUCGCCAGAAAUAGAUUUUGUCAUAAUAUUUGACGCACCUAUAAAAAUUUUCAAACAAAUGUUAGUUAUAGUUAUAAUAUUUUAAUAAAGGUUUUUGAUAUUUUAUAUAUCAUCUUUUCUAGCAAAACUAGGCUUACAUGAUAAAACAAGAAUUAAAAGAGUGAAAAACAAAACAUUUAUCUUCAAUCCUGUUUUGGAAGUUCAACAACAGCUGUAAACAGGGAGUUUUGGUUGAUGUUUUAAGUUUAUUUUUUUGUGAAAUUUAUAAGUUUAGUUGUGUCAUAUUUAUAGCUGUUUUCACCUAUGUUACACAAUAGUAAUAGUUUAAUCAACAUCUUUUAAGUAAUUAAUAGACAUUAGAAAAACUGUUCUUUUCUUUAAAUAAUAGUAUUCGUUUUCAAAUAUUCAUAUAAGUGUAAUGGUAAUUAUUAUUAGUCAUUAAUUGUUAAGUGUAGAUAAAAAUAGUAUUUUCAUUAUUGUAUAUUUAAUUUUUUAUAUAGAGAGAGUGAAAUAGAGUAUGAAAUCCAUCUUGAGAUCAUUAUCGAUAAAAUAUAUUAGUUAUCAAUGUUAUAAGUUUUAUUUUUAGUAGUAUAUUUUUAUACUAACAGUAUCAAAUGUAAGAACACAAACUCGACUUUGAAAUGGUUUUAUAUAUGCCUGGUGAUUUAGCAAAUUUUCGUGUCGACGCACGUAGUUGUUGGUGCAUAUUAAUAUGUAUUAAAGAAAUUUUUGAUAGCCAAUUUUUUAUCACCAAGCGAGUUUUCUCCGAAUUUUUACCCAUAUUUACAUGGUACUAGAACAAAUUUUUGUGUAAAUAAUUAGCUUUGAAAUUUUUUCCAGCAUAACCAGUUUUCAUUUCAGAGUUCUUUCAAGAUGAAUUAUAGAGAAGAGAAACUGUACAUUGAGAAUUUUUAUAGGAUAGUAAAUAUAUCUUGUAUAGUAAGACACUUUUUCUCAAUGUACACAUUCUCUUAAUCCACUCAAAGUAGUAUGAAAGUGUUAUUGAAAAAAGUUCAUAGUUUAUAUAAAAUUGAUCUCUUUUUGUUGUGGUUAAUAACAUUGCACAAAAUUUAUGUCCAAUACAUUCAUGCGUAGAUAACAUAUAUAUUUUUAUAAAGUGUAAAUAAUAUAAAGUUUCAAUGAAAAACUAACACUGAUUUGAAAACAAACGUCUUAUUAUUUUUCAAUAAUAUAUAUUUCAAAGAAAAUACAACAGUUUAUCCUGGAAUAUAUCCUCUUUUAUAAUCACACCAGCAUUUAAAACCACGACAUUCCAACAUAUACCUAUCCUUUCUCAUACAAUGACGUGCACAUUCUUGACAAAAACCAAUUUCGUUCGUAGCAGCAUGGUUUCCAUGAAUUUCAUAAUCGGGAAGUUGAUUUGGGCUUGCUGCUGGAUUGGACAUAUGGGUUUUAUCGCCAGAAAUAGAUUUUGUCAUAAUAUUUGACGCACCUAUAAAAAUUUUCAAACAAAUGUUAGUUAUAGUUAUAAUAUUUUAAUAAAGGUUUUUGAUAUUUUAUAUAUCAUCUUUUCUAGCAAAACUAGGCUUACAUGAUAAAACAAGAAAUAAAAGAGUGAAAAACAAAACAUUUAUCUUCAUUCCUGUUUUGGAAGUUCAACAACAGCUGUAAACAGUGAGUUUUGGUUGAUGUUUUAAGUUUAUUUUUUUGUGAAAUUUAUAAGUUUAGUUGUGUCAUAUUUAUAGCUGUUUUCACCUAUGUUACACAAUAGUAAUAGUUUAAUCAACAUCUUUUAAGUAAUUAAUAGACAUUAGAAAAACUGUUCUUUUUUUAAAAAAUAAUAGUAUUCGUUUUCAAAUAUUCAUAUAAGUGUAAUGGUAAUUAUUAUUAGUCAUUAAUUGUUAAGUGUAGAUAAAAACAGUAUUUUCAUUAUUGUAUAUUUAAUUUUUUAUAUAGAGAGAGUGAAAUAGAGUAUGAAAUCCAACUUGAGAUCAUUAUCGAUAAAAUAUAUUAGUUAUCAAUGUUAUAAGUUUUAUUUUUAGUAGUAUAUUUUUAUAAUAACAGUAUCAAAUGUAAGAACACAAACUCGACUUUGAAAUGGUUUUAUAUAUGCCUGGUGAUUUAGCAAAUUUUCGUGUCGACGCACGUAGUUGUUGGUGCAUAUUAAUAAGUAUUAAAGAGAAUUUUCGAUAGCCAAUUUUUUAUCACCAAGCGAGUUUUCUCCGAAUUUUUACCCAUAUUUACAUGGUACUAGAAUAAAUUUUUGUGUAAAUAAUUAGCUUUGAAAUUUUUUCCAGCGUAACCAGUUUUCAUUUCAGAGUUCUUUCAAGAUGAAUUAUAGAGAAGAGAAACUGUACAUUGAGAAUUGUUAUAGGAUAGUAAAUAUAUCCUGUAUAGUAAUACACUUUUUCUCAGUGUACACUUUCUCUUAAUCCACUCAAAGUAGUAUGAAAGUGUUAUUGAAAAAAGUUCAUAGUUUAUAUAAAAUUGAUCUCUUUUUGUUGUGGUUAAUAACAUUGCACAAAAUUUAUGUCCAAUACAUUCAUGCGUAGAUAACAUAUAUAUUUUUAUAAAGUGUAAAUAAUAUAAAGUUUCAAUGAAAAACUAACACUGAUUUGAAAACAAACGUCUUAUUAUUUUUCAAUAAUAUAUAUUUCAAAGAAAAUACAACAGUUUAUCCUGGAAUAUAUCCUCUUUUAUAAUCACACCAGCAUUUAAAACCACGACAUUCCAACAUAUACCUAUCCUUUCUCAUACAAUGACGUGCACAUUCUUGACAAAAACCAAUUUCGUUCGUAGCAGCAUGGUUUCCAUGAAUUUCAUAAUCGGGAAGUUGAUUUGGGCUUGCUGCUGGAUUGGACAUAUGAGUUUUAUCGCCAGAAAUAGAUUUUGUCAUAAUAUUUGACGCACCUAUAAAAAUUUUCAAACAAAUGUUAGUUAUAGUUAUAAUAUUUUAAUAAAGGUUUUUGAUAUUUUAUAUAUCAUCUUUUCUAGCAAAACUAGGCUUACAUGGUAAAACAAGAAUUAAAAGAGUGAAAAACAAAACAUUUAUCUUCAAUCCUGUUUUGGAAGUUCAACAACAGCUGUAAACAGGGAGUUUUGGUUGAUGUUUUAAGUUUAUUUUUUUGUGAAAUUUAUAAGUUUAGUUGUGUUAUAUUUAUAGCUGUUUUCACCAAUAUUACACAAUAGUAAUAGUUUAAUCAACAUCUUUUAAGUAAUUAAUAGACAUUAGAAAAACUGUUCUCUUUUUUAAAUAAUAGUAUUCGUUUUCAAAUAUUCAUAUAAGUGUAAUGGUAAUUAUUAUUAGUCAUUAAUUGUUAAGCGUAGAUAAAAACAGUAUUUUCAUUAUUGUAUAUUUAAUUUUUUUAUAUAGAGAGAGUGAAAUAGAGUAUGAAAUCCAACUUGAGAUCAUUAUCGAUAAAAUAUAUUAGUUAUCAAUGUUAUAAGUUUUAUUUUUAGUAGUAUAUUUUUCUACUAACAGUAUCAAAUGUAAGAACACAAACUCGACUUUGAAAUGGUUUUAUAUAUGCCUGGUGAUUUAGCAAAUUUUCGUGUCGACGCACGUAGUUGUUGGUGCAUAUUAAUAAGUAUUAAAGAAAUUUUUGAUAGCCAAUUUUUUAUCACCAAGCGAGUUUUCUCCGAAUUUUUACCCAUAUUUACAUGGUACUAGAACAAAUUUUUGUGUAAAUAAUUAGCUUUGAAAUUUUUUCCAGCGUAACCAUUUUUUAUUUCAGAGUUCUUUCAAGAUGAAUUAUAGAGAAGAGAAACUGUACAUUGAGAAUUUUUAUAGGAUAGUAAAUAUAUCCUGUAUAGUAAUACACUUUUUCUCAGUGUACACUUUCUCUUAAUCCACUCAAAGUAGUAUGAAAGUGUUAUUGAAAAAAGUUCAUAGUUUAUAUAAAAUUGAUCUCUUUUUGUUGUGGUUAAUAACAUUGCACAAAAUUUAUGUCCAAUACAUUCAUGCGUAGAUAACAUAUAUAUUUUUAUAAAGUGUAAAUAAUAUAAAGUUUCAAUGAAAAACUAACACUGAUUUGAAAACAAACGUCUUAUUAUUUUUCAAUAAUAUAUAUUUCAAAGAAAAUACAACAGUUUAUCCUGGAAUAUAUCCUCUUUUAUAAUCACACCAGCAUUUAAAACCACGACAUUCCAACAUAUACCUAUCCUUUCUCAUACAAUGACGUGCACAUUCUUGACAAAAACCAAUUUCGUUCGUAGCAGCAUGGUUUCCAUAAUUUUCAUAAUCGGGAAGUUGAUUUGGGCUUGCUGCUGGAUUGGACAUAUGGGUUUUAUCGCCAGAAAUAGAUUUUGUCAUAAUAUUUGACGCACCUAUAAAAAUUUUCAAACAAAUGUUAGUUAUAGUUAUAAUAUUUUAAUAAAGGUUUUUGAUAUUUUAUAUAUCAUCUUUUCUAGCAAAACUAGGCUUACAUGAUAAAACAAGAAAUAAAAGAGUGAAAAACAAAACAUUUAUCUUCAUUCCUGUUUUGGAAGUUCAACAACAGCUGUAAACAGUGAGUUUUGGUUGAUGUUUUAAGUUUAUUUUUUUGUGAAAUUUAUAAGUUUAGUUGUGUUAUAUUUAUAGCUGUUUUCACCUAUGUUACACAAUAGUAAUAGUUUAAUCAACAUCUUUUAAGUAAUUAAUAGACAUUAGCAAAACUGUUCUUUUUUUUAAAUAAUAGUAUUCGUUUUCAAAUAUUCAUAUAAGUGUAAUGGUAAUUAUUAUUAGUCAUUAAUUGUUAAGCGUAGAUAAAAACAGUAUUUUCAUUAUUGUAUAUUUAAUUUUUUAUAUAGAGAGAGUGAAAUAGAGUAUGAAAUCCAACUUGAGAUCAUUAUCGAUAAAAUAUAUUAGUUAUCAAUGUUAUAAGUUUUAUUUUUAGUAGUAUAUUUUUAUACUAACAGUAUCAAAUGUAAGAGCACAAACUCGACUUUGAAAUGGUUUUAUAUAUGCCUGGUGAUUUAGCAAAUUUUCGUGUCGACGCACGUAGUUGUUGGUGCAUAUUAAUAAGUAUUCAAGAGAAUUUUCGAUAGCCAAUUUUUUAUCACCAAGCGAGUUUUCUCUGAAUUUUUACCCAUAUUUACAUGGUACUAGAACAAAUUUUUGUGUAAAUAAUUAGCUUUGAAAUUUUUUCCAGCAUAACCAGUUUUCAUUUCAGAGUUCUUUCAAGAUGAAUUAUAGAGAAGGGAAACUGUACAUUGAGAAUUUUUAUAGGAUAGUAAAUAUAUCCUGUAUAGUAAUACACUUUUUCUCAAUGUUCACUUUCUCUUAAUCCACUCAAAGUAGUAUGAAAGUGUUAUUGAAAAAAGUUCAUAGUUUAUAUAAAAUUGAUCUUUUUUUGUUGUGGUUGAUAACAUUUCACAAAAUUUAUGUCCAAUACAUUCAUGCGUAGAUAACAUAUAUAUUUUUAUAAAGUGUAAAUAAUAUAAAGUUUCAAUGAAAAACUAACACUGAUUUGAAAACAAACGUCUUAUUAUUUUUCAAUAAUAUAUAUUUCAAAGAAAAUACAACAGUUUAUCCUGGAAUAUAUCCUCUUUUAUAAUCACACCAGCAUUUAAAACCACGAAAUUCCAACAUAUACCUAUCCUUUCUCAUACAAUGACGUGCACAUUCUUGACAAAAACCAAUUUCGUUCGUAGCAGCAUGGUUUCCAUGAAUUUCAUAAUCGGGAAGUUGAUUUGGGGUUGCUGCUGGAUUGGACAUAUGAGUUUCAUCGCCAAAAAUAGAUUUUGUCAUAAUAUUUGACGCACCUAUAAAAUUUUUCAAACAAAUGUUAGUUAUAGUUAUAAUAUUUUAAUAAAGGUUUUUGAUAUUUUAUAUAUCAUCUUUUCUAGCAAAACUAGGCUUACAUGAUAAAACAAGAAAUAAAAGAGUGAAAAACAAAACAUUUAUCUUCAUUCCUGUUUUGGAAGUUCAACAACAGCUGUAAACAGUGAGUUUUGGUUGAUGUUUUAAGUUUAUUUUUUUGUGAAAUUUAUAAGUUUAGUUGUGUUAUAUUUAUAGCUGUUUUCACCUAUGUUACACAAUAGUAAUAGUUUAAUCAACAUCUUUUAAGUAAUUAAUAGACAUUAGCAAAACUGUUCUUUUUUUUAAAUAAUAGUAUUCGUUUUCAAAUAUUCAUAUAAGUGUAAUGGUAAUUAUUAUUAGUCAUUAAUUGUUAAGCGUAGAUAAAAACAGUAUUUUCAUUAUUGUAUAUUUAAUUUUUUAUAUAGAGAGAGUGAAAUAAAGUAUGAAAUCCAACUUGAGAUCAUUGUCGAUAAAAUAUAUUAGUUAUCAAUGUUAUAAGUUUUAUUUUUAGUAGUAUAUUUUUAUACUAACAGUAUCAAAUGUAAGAACACAAACUCGACUUUGAAAUGGUUUUAUAUAUGCCUGGUCAUUUAGCAAAUUUUCGUGUCGACGCCCGUGGUUGUUGGUGCAUAUUAAUAAGUAUUAAAGAGAAUUUUUGAUAGCCAAUUUUUUAUCACCAAGCGAGUUUUCUUCUAAUUUUUACCCAUAUUUACAUGCUACUAGAAAAACUUUUUGUGUAAAUAAUUAGCUUUGAAAUUUUUUCCAGCAUAACCAGUUUUCAUUUCAGAGUUCUUUCAAGAUGAAUUAUAGAGACGAUAAACUGUACAUUGAGAAUUUUUAUAGGAUAGUAAAUAUAUCCUGUAUAGUAAUACACUUUUUCUCAAUGUACACUUUCUCUUAAUCCACUCAAAGUAGUAUGAAAGUGUUAUUGAAAAAAGUUCAUAGUUUAUAUAAAAUUGAUCUCUUUUUGUUGUGGUUGAUAACAUUGCACAAAAUUUAUGUCCAAUACAUUCAUGCGUAGAUAACAUAUAUAUUUUUAUAAAGUGUAAAUAAUAUAAAGUUUCAAUGAAAAACUAACACUGAUUUGAAAACAAACGUCUUAUUAUUUUUCAAUAAUAUAUAUUUCAAAGAAAAUACAACAGUUUAUCCAGGAAUAUAUCCUCUUUUAUAAUCACACCAGCAUUUAAAACCACGACAUUCCAACAUAUACCUAUCCUUUCUCAUACAAUGACGUGCACAUUCUUGACAAAAACCAAUUUCGUUUGUAGCAGCAUGGUUUCCAUGAAUUUCAUAAUCGGGAAGUUGAUUUGGGCUUGCUGCUGGAUUGGACAUAUGAGUUUCAUCGCCAAAAAAAGAUUUUGUCAUAAUAUUUGACGCACCUAUAAAAUUUUUCAAACAAAUGUUAGUUAUAGUUAUAAUAUUUUAAUAAAGGUUUUUGAUAUUUUAUAUAUCAUCUUUUCUAGCAAAACUAGGCUUACAUGAUAAAACAAGAAAUAAAAGAGUGAAAAACAAAACAUUUAUCUUCAUUCCUGUUUUGGAAGUUCAACAACAGCUGUAAACAGUGAGUUUUGGUUGAUGUUUUAAGUUUAUUUUUUUGUGAAAUUUAUAAGUUUAGUUGUGUUAUAUUUAUAGCUGUUUUCACCUAUGUUACACAAUAGUAAUAGUUUAAUCAACAUCUUUUAAGUAAUUAAUAGACAUUAGCAAAACUGUUCUUUUUUUUAAAUAAUAGGAUUCGUUUUCAAAUAUUCAUAUAAGUGUAAUGGUAAUUAUUAUUAGUCAUUAAUUGUUAAGCGUAGAUAAAAACAGUAUUUUCAUUAUUGUAUAUUUAAUUUUUUAUAUAGAGAGAGUGAAAUAAAGUAUGAAAUCCAACUUGAGAUCAUUAUCGAUAAAAUAUAUUAGUUAUCAAUGUUAUAAGUUUUAUUUUUAGUAGUAUAUUUUUAUACUAACAGUAUCAAAUGUAAGAACACAAACUCGACUUUGAAAUGGUUUUAUAUAUGCCUGGUGAUUUAGCAAAUUUUCGUGUCGACGAACGUAGUUGUUGGUGCAUAUUAAUAAGUAUUAAAGAAAAUUUUUGAUAGCCAAUUUUUUAUCACCAAGCGAGUUUUCUCCGAAUUUUUACCCAUAAUUACAUGGUACUAGAACAAAUUUUUGUGUAAAUAAUUAGCUUUGAAUUUUUUUCCAGCAUAACCAGUUUUCAUUUCAGAGUUCUUUCAAGAUAAAUUAUAGAGAAGAGAAACUGUACAUUGAGAAUUUUUAUAGGAUAGUAAAUAUAUCCUGUAUAGUAAUACACUUUUUCUCAAUGUACACUUUCUCUUAAUCCACUCAAAGUAGUAUGAAAGUGUUAUAGAAAAAAGUUAAUAGUUUAUAUAAAAUUGAUCUCUUUUUGUUGUGGUUAAUAACAUUGCACAAAAUUUAUGUCCAAUACAUUCAUGCGUAGAUAACAUAUAUAUUUUUAUAAAGUGUAAAUAAUAUAAAGUUUCAAUGAAAAACUAACACUGAUUUGAAAACAAACGUCUUAUUAUUUAUCAAUAAUAUAUAUUUCAAAGAAAAUACAACAGUUUAUCGAGGAAUAUAUCCUCUUUUAUAAUCACACCAGCAUUUAAAACCACGACAUUCCAACAUAUACCUAUCCUUUCUCAUACAAUGACGUGCACAUUCUUGACAAAAAUCAAUUUCGUUCGUAGCAGCAUGGUUUCCAUGAAUUUCAUAAUCGGGAAGUUGAUUUGGGCUUGCUGCUGGAUUGGACAUAUGAGUUUUUUCGCCAGAAAUAGAUUUUGUCUUAAUAUUGACGCACCUACAAAAUUUUUCAAACAAAUGUUAGUUAUAGUUAUUAUAUUUUAAUAAAGGUUUUUGAUAUUUUAUAUAUCAUCUUUUCUAGCAAAACUAGACUUACAUGAUAAAACAAUAAUUAAAAGAGUGAAAAACAAAACAUUUAUCUUCAUUCCUGUUUUGGAAGUUCAACAACAGCUGUAAAAAGUGAGUUUUGGUUGAUGUUUUAAAUUUAUUUUUUUGUGAAAUUUAUAAGUUUAGUUGUGUCAUAUUUAUAGCUGUUUUCACCUAUGUUACACAAUAGUAAUAGUUUAAUCAACAUCUUUUAAGUAAUUAAUAGACAUUAGAAAAACUGUUAUUUUUUAAAUAAUAGUAUUCGUUUUCAAAUAUUCAUAUAAGUGUAAUGGUAAUUAUUAUUAUUCAUUAAUUGUUAAGCGUAGAUAAAAACAGUAUUUUCAUUACUGUAUAUUUAAUUUUUUGUAUAGAGAGAGUGAAAUAGAGUAUGAAAUCCAACUUGAGAUCAUUAUCGAUAAAAUAUAUUAGUUAUCAAUGUUAUAAGUUUUAUUUUUAGUAGUAUAUUUUUAUACUAACAGUAUCAAAUGUAAGAACACAAACUCGACUUUGAAAUGGUUUUAUAUAUGCCUGGUCAUUUAGCAAAUUUUCGUGUCGACGCCCGUGGUUGUUGGUGCAUAUUAAUAAGUAUUAAAGAGAAUUUUUGAUAGCCAAUUUUUUAUCACCAAGCGAGUUUUCUUCUAAUUUUUACCCAUAUUUACAUGCUACUAGAAAAACUUUUUGUGUAAAUAAUUAGCUUUGAAAUUUUUUCCAGCAUAACCAGUUUUCAUUUCAGAGUUCUUUCAAGAUGAAUUAUAGAGACGAUAAACUGUACAUUGAGAAUUUUUAUAGGAUAGUAAAUAUAUCCUGUAUAGUAAGACACCUUUUCUCAAUGUACACUUUCUCUUAAUCCACUCAAAGUAGUAUGAAAGUGUUAUUGAAAAAAGUUCAUAGUUUAUAUAAAAUUGAUCUCUUUUGUUGUGGUUAAUAACAUUGCAAAAAAUUUAUGUCCAAUACAUUCAUGCGUAGAUAACAUAUAUAUUUUUAUAAAGUGUAAAUAAUAUAAAGUUUCAAUGAAAAACUAACACUGAUUUGAAAACAAACGUCUUAUUAUUUUUCAAUAAUAUAUAUUUCAAAGAAAAUACAACAGUUUAUCCAGGAAUAUAUCCUCUUUUAUAAUCACACCAGCAUUUAAAACCACGACAUUCCAACAUAUACCUAUCUUUUCUCAUACAAUGACGUGCACAUUCUUGACAAAAACCAAUUUCGUUUGUAGCAGCAUGGUUUCCAUGAAUUUCAUAAUCGGGAAGUUGAUUUGGGCUUGCUGCUGGAUUGGACAUAUGAGUUUUAUCGCCAGAAAUAGAUUUUGUCAUAAUAUUUGACGCACCUAUAAAAUUUUUUAACAAAUGUUAGUUAUAGUUAUUAUAUUUUAAUAAAGGUUUUUGAUAUUUUAUAUAUCAUCUUUUCUAGCAAAACUAGACAUACAUGAUAAAACAAGAAUUAAAAGAGUGAAAAACAAAACAUUUAUCUUCAUUCCUGUUUUGGAAGUUCAACAACAGCUGUAAAAAGUGAGUUUUGGUUGAUGUUUUAAGUUUAUUUUUUUGUGAAAUUUAUAAGUUUAGUUGUGUCAUAUUUAUAGCUGUUUUCACCUAUGUUACACAAUAGUAAUAGUUUAAUCAACAUCUUUUAAGUAAUUAAUAGACAUUAGCAAAACUGUUCUUUUUUUUAAAUAAUAGGAUUCGUUUUCAAAUAUUCAUAUAAGUGUAAUGGUAAUUAUUAUUAGUCAUUAAUUGUUAAGCGUAGAUAAAAACAGUAUUUUCAUUAUUGUAUAUUUAAUUUUUUAUAUAGAGAGAGUGAAAUAAAGUAUGAAAUCCAACUUGAGAUCAUUAUCGAUAAAAUAUAUUAGUUAUCAAUGUUAUAAGUUUUAUUUUUAGUAGUAUAUUUUUAUACUAACAGUAUCAAAUGUAAGAACACAAACUCGACUUUGAAAUGGUUUUAUAUAUGCCUGGUGAUUUAGCAAAUUUUCGUGUCGACGCACGUAGUUGUUGGUGCAUAUUAAUAAGUAUUAAAGAGAAUUUUUGAUAGCCAAUUUUUUAUCACCAAGCGAGUUUUCUCCGAAUUUUAACCCAUAUUUACAUGGUACUAGAACAAAUUUUUGUGUAAAUAAUUAGUUUGAAUUUUUUUCCAGCAUAACCAGUUUUCAUUUCAGAGUUCUUUCAAGAUAAAUUAUAGAGAAGAGAAACUGUACAUUGAGAAUUUUUAUAGGAUAGUAAAUAUAUCCUGUAUAGUAAUACACUUUUUCUCAAUGUACACUUUCUCUUAAUCCACUCAAAGUAGUAUGAAAGUGUUAUAGAAAAAAGUUCAUAGUUUAUAUAAAAUUGAUCUCUUUUUGUUGUGGUUAAUAACAUUGCACAAAAUUUAUGUCCAAUACAUUCAUGCGUAGAUAACAUAUAUAUUUUUAUAAAGUGUAAAUAAUAUAAAGUUUCAAUGAAAAACUAACACUGAUUUGAAAACAAACGUCUUAUUAUUUUUCAAUAAUAUAUAUUUCAAAGAAAAUACAACAGUUUAUCCAGGAAUAUAUCCUCUUUUAUAAUCACACCAGCAUUUAAAACCACGACAUUCCAACAUAUACCUAUCUUUUCUCAUACAAUGACGUGCACAUUCUUGACAAAAACCAAUUUCGUUCGUAGCAGCAUGGUUUCCAUGAAUUUCAUAAUCGGGAAGUUGAUUUGGGCUUGCUGCUGGAUUGGACAUAUGAGUUUUAUCGCCAGAAAUAGAUUUUGUCAUAAUAUUUGACGCACCUAUAAAAUUUUUCAAACAAAUGUUAGUUUUAGUUAUUAUAUUUUAAUAAAGGUUUUUGAUAUUUUAUAUAUCAUCUUUUCUAGCAAAACUAGACUUACAUGAUAAAACAAGAAUUAAAAGAGUGAAAAACAAAACAUUUAUCUUCAUUCUUGUUUUGGAAGUUCAACGACAGCUGUAAAAAGUGAGUUUUGGUUGAUGUUUUAAGUUUAUUCUUUGUGAAAUUUAUAAGUUUAGUUGUUUCAUAUUUAUAGCUGUUUUCAGCUAUGUUACACAAUAGUAAUAGUUUAAUCAACAUCUUUUAAGUAAUUAAUAGACAUUAGAAAAACUGUUCUUUUUUUAAAUAAUAGUAUUCGUUUUCAAAUAUUCAUAUAAGUGUAAUGGUAAUUAUUAUUAGUCAUUAAUUGUUUAGCGUAGAUAAAAACAGUAUUUUCAUUAAUGUAUAUUUAAUUUUUGAUAUAGAGAGAGUGAAAUAGAGUAUGAAAUCCAACUUUAGAUCAUUAUCGAUAAAAUAUAUUAGUUAUCAAUGUUAUAAGUUUUAUUUUUAGUAGUAUAUUUUUAUACUAACAAUAUCAAAUGUAAGAACACAAACUCGACUUUGAAAUGGUUUUAUAUAUGCCUGGUCAUUUAGCAGAAUUUUCGUGUCGACGCCCGUAGUUGUUGGUGCAUAUUAAUAAGUAUUAAAGAGAAUUUUCGAUAGCCAAUUUUUUAUCACCAAGCGAGUUUUCUCCGAAUUUUUACCCAUAUUUACAUGGUAUUAGAACAAAUUUUUGUGUAAAUAAUUAGCUUUGAAAUUUUUUCCAGCAUAACCAGUUUUCAUUUCAGAGUUCUUUCAAGAUGAAUUAUAGAGAAGAGAAACUGUACAUUGAGAAUUUUUAUAGGAUAGUAAAUAUAUCUUGUAUAGUAAGACACUUUUUUCUCAAUGUACACUUUCUCUUAAUCCACUCAAAGUAGUAUGAAAGUGUUAUUGAAAAAAGUUCAUAGUUUAUAUAAAAUUGAUCUCUUUUUGUUGUGGUUAAUAACAUUGCACAGAAUUUAUAUCCAAUACAUUCAUGCGUAGAUAACAUAUAUAUUUUUAUAAAGUGUAAAUAAUAUAAAGUUUCAAUGAAAAACUAACACUGAUUUGAAAACAAACGUCUUAUUAUUUUUCAAUAAUAUAUAUUUCAAAGAAAAUACAACAGUUUAUCCAGGAAUAUAUCCUCUUUUAUAAUCACACCAGAAAUUAAAACCACGACAUUCCAACAUAUACCUAUCCUUUCUCAUACAAUGACUUGCACAUUCUUGACAAAAACCAAUUUCGUUCGUAGCAGCAUGGUUUCCAUGAAUUUCAUAAUCGGGAAGUUGAUUUGGGCUUGCUGCUGGAUUGGAGAUAUGAGUUUUAUCGCCAGAAAUAGAUUUUGUCAUAAUAUUUGACGCACCUAUAAAACUUUUCAAACAAAUGUUAGUUAUAGUUAUUAUAUUUUAAUAAAGGUUUUUGAUAUUUUAUAUAUCAUCUUUUCUAGCAUAACUAGGCUUACAUGAUAAAACAAGAAUUAAAAGAGUGAAAAACAAAACAUUUAUCUUCAUUCCUGUUUUGGAAGUUCAACAACAGCUGUAAAAAGUGAGUUUUGGUUGAUGUUUUAAGUUUAUUUUUUGUGAAAUUUAUAAGUUUAGUUGUUUCAUAUUUAUAGCUGUUUUCAGCUAUGUUACACAAUAGUAGUAAUUUAAUCAACAUCUUUUAAGUAAUUAAUAGACAUUAGAAAAACUGUUCUUUUUUUAAAUAAUAGUAUUCGUUUUCAAAUAUUCAUAUAAGUGUAAUGGUAAUUAUUAUUAGUCAUUAAUUGUUAAGCGUAGAUAAAAACAGUAUUUUCAUUACUGUAUAUUUAAUUUUUGAUAUAGAGAGAGUGAAAUAGAGUAUGAAAUCCAACUUUAGAUCAUUAUCGAUAAAAUAUAUUAGUUAUCAAUGUUAUAAUUUUUAUUUUUAGUAGUAUAUUUUUAUACUAACAGUAUCAAAUGUAAGAACACUAACUCGACUUUGAAAUGGUUUUAUAUUUGCCUGGUGAUUUAGCAAAUUUUCAUAUCGACGCCCGUAGUUGGUGGUGCAUAUUAAUAAGUAUUAAAGAGAAUUUUCGAUAGCCAAUUUUUUAUCCCCAAGCGAGUUUUCUCCGAAUUUCUACCCAUAUUUACAUGGUAUUAGAACAAAUUUUUGUGUAAAUAAUUAGCUUUGAAAUUUUUUCUAGCAUAACCAAUUUUCAUUUCAGAUUUCUUUCAAGAUGAAUUAUAGAGAAGAGAAACUGUACAUUAAGAAUUUUUAUAGGAUAGUAAAUAUAUCCUGUAUAGUAAGACACUUUUUCUCAAUGUACACAUUCUCUUAAUCCACUCAAAGUAGUAUGAAAGUGUUAUUGAAAAAAGUUCAUAGUUUAUAUAAAACUGAUUACUUUUUGUUGUGGUUAAUAACAUUGCACAAAAUUUAUGUCCAAUACAUUCAUGCGUGGAUAACAUAUAUAUUUUUAAAAAGUGUAAAUAAUAUAAAGUUUGAAUGAAAAACUAACACUGAUUAGAAAACAAACGUCUUAUUAUUUUUCAAUAAUAUAUAUUUCAAAGAAAAUACAACAGUUUAUCCAGAAAUAUAUCCUCUUUUAUAAUCACACCAGCAUUUAAAACCACGACAUUCCAACAUAUACCUAUCCUUUCUCAUACAAUGACGUGCACAUUCUUGACAAAAACCAAUUUCGUUCGUAGCAGCAUGGUUUCCAUGAAUUUCAUAAUCGGGAAGUUGAUUUGGGUUUGCUGCUGGAUUGGAGAUAUGAGUUUUAUCGCCAGAAAUAGAUUUUAUCAUAAUAUUUGACGCACCUAUAAAAAUUUUCAAACAAAUGUUAGUUAUAGUUAUUAUAUUUUAAUAAAGGUUUUUGAUAUUUUAUAUAUCAUCUUUUCUAGCAUAACUAGGCUUACAUGAUAAAACAAGAAUUAAAAGAGUGAAAAACAAAACAUUUAUCUUCAUUCCUGUUUUGGAAGUUCAACAACAGCCGUAAAAAGUGAGUUUUGGUUGAUGUUUUAAGUUUAUUUUUUGUGAAAUUUAUAAGUUUAGUUGUUUCAUAUUUAUAGCUGUUUUCAGCUAUGUUACACAAUAGUAAUAGUUUAAUCAACAUCUUUUAAGUAAUUAAUAGACAUUAGAAAACCUGUUCUUUUUUUUAAAUAAUAGUAUUCGUUUUCAAAUAUUCAUAUAAGUGUAAUGGUAAUUAUUAUUAGUCAUUAAUUGUUAAGCGUAGAUAAAAACAGUAUUUUCAUUAUUGUAUAUUUAUUUUUUGAUAUAGAGAGAGUGAAAUAGAGUAUGAAAUUUAACUUUAGAUCAUUAUCGAUAAAAUAUAUUAGUUAUCAAUGUUAUAAGUUUUAUUUUUAGUAGUAUAUUUUUAUACUAACAGUAUCAAAUGUAAGAACACAAACUCAACUUUGAAAUGGUUUUAUAUAUGCCUGGUCAUUUAGCAAAUUUUCGUGUCGACGCCCGUAGUUGUUGGUGCAUAUUAAUAAGUAUUAAAGAGAAUUUUUGAUAGCCAAUUUUUUAUCACCAAGCGAGUUUUCUUCUAAUUUUUACCCAUAUUUACAUGCUACUAGAAAAAAUUUUGUGUAAAUAAUUAGCUUUGAAAUUUUUUCCAGCAUAACCAGUUUUCAUUUCAGAGUUCUUUCAAGAUGAAUUAUAGAGAAGAUAAACUGUACAUUGAGAGUUUUUAUAGGAUAGUAAAUAUAUCUUGUAUAGUAAGACACUUUUUCUCAAUGUACACUUUCUCUUAAUCCACUCAAAGUAGUAUGAAAGUGUUAUUGAAAAAAGUUCAUAGUUUCUAUAAAAUUGAUCUCUUUUUGUUGUGGUUAAUAACAUUGCACAAAAUUUAUGUCCAAUACAUUCAUGCGUAGAUAACAUAUAUAUUUUUNNNNNNNNNNNNNNNNNNNNNNNNNNNNNNNNNNNNNNNNNNNNNNNNNNNNNNNNNNNNNNNNNNNNNNNNNNNNNNNNNNNNNNNNNNNNNNNNNNNNAAAAAGUUCAUAGUUUCUAUAAAUUGAUCUCUUUUGUGUGGUUAUAACAUUGCACAAAAUUUAUGUCCAAUACAUUCAUGCGUAGAUAACAUAUAAAUUUUUAUAAAGUGUAAAUAAUAUAAAGUUUCAAUGAAAAACUAACACUGAUUUGAAAACAAACUUCUUAUUAUUUUUCAAUAAUAUAAAUUUCAAAGAAAAUACAACAGUUUAUCCAGGAAUAUAUCCUCUUUUAUAAUCACAACAGCAUUUAAAACCACGACAUUCCAACAUAUACCUAUCCUUUCUCAUACAAUGACGUGCACAUUCUUGACAAAAACCAAUUUCGUUCGUAGCAGCAUGGUUUCCAUGAAUUUCAUAAUCGAGAAGUUGAUUUGGGCUUGCUGCUGGAUUGGACAUCUGAGUUUUAUCGCCAGAAAUAGAUUUUGUCAUAAUAUUUGACGCACCUAUAAUUUUUUUCAAACAAAUGUUAGUUAUAGUUAUUAUAUUUUAAUAAAGGUUUUUGAUAUUUUAUAUAUCAUCUUUUCUAGCAAAACUAGACAUACAUGAUAAAACAAGAAUUAAAAGAGUGAAAAACAAAACAUUUAUCUUCAUUCCUGUUUUGGAAGUUCAACAACAGCUGUAAAAAGUGAGUUUUGGUUGAUGUUUUAAGUUUAUUUUUUUGUGAAAUUUAUAAGUUUAGUUGUGUCAUAUUUAUAGCUGUUUUCACCUAUGUUACACAAUAGUAAUAGUUUAAUCAAAAUCUUUUAAGUAAUUAAUAGACAUUAGAAAAACUGUUCUUUUCUUUAAAUAAUAGUAUUCGUUUUCAAAUAUUCAUAUAAGUGUAAUGGUAAUUAUUAUUAGUCAUUAAUAGUUAAGCGUAGAUAAAACAGUAUUUUCAUUACUGUAUAUUUAACUUUUGAUAUAGUGAGAGUGAAAUAGAGUAUGAAAUCCAACUUGAGAUCAUUAUCGAUAAAAUAUAUUAGUUAUCAAUGUUAUAAAUUUUAUUUUUAGUAGUAUAUUUUUAUACUAACAGUAUCAAAUGUAAGAGCACAAACUCGACUUUGAAAUGGUUUUAUAUAUGCCUGGUGAUUUAGCAAAUUUUCGUGUCGACGCACGUAGUUGUUGGUGCAUAUUAAUAAGUAUUAAAGAGAAUUUUUGAUAGCCAAUUUUUUAUCACCAAGCGAGUUUUCUCCGAAUUUUUACCCAUAUUUACAUGGUACUAGAACAAAUUUUUGUGUAAAUAAUUAGCUUUGAAAUUUUUUCCAGCAUAACCAGUUUUCAUUUCAGAGUUCUUUCAAGAUGAAUUAUAGAGAAGAGAAACUGUACAUUGAGAAUUUUUAUAGGAUAGUAAAUAUAUCCUGUAUAGUAAGACACUUUUUCUCAAUGUAGACUUUCUCUUAAUCCACUCAAAGUAGUAUGAAAGUGUUAUUGAAAAAAGUUCAUAGUUUAUAUAAAAUUGAUCUCUUUUUGUUGUGGUUAAUAACAUUGCACAAAACUUAUGUCCAAUACAUUCAUGCGUAGAUAACAUAUAUAUUUUUAUAAAGUGUAAAUAAUAUAAAGUUUCAAUGAAAAACUAACAUUGAUUUGAAAACAAACGUCUUAUUAUUUUUCAAUAAUAUAUAUUUCAAAGAAAAUACAACAGUUUAUCCAGGAAUAUAUCCUCUUUUAUAAUCACACCAGCAUUUAAAACCACGACAUUCCAACAUAUACCUAUCCUUUCUCAUACAAUGACGUGCACAUUCUUGACAAAAACCAAUUUCGUUCGUACCAGCAUGGUUUCCAUGAAUUUCAUAAUCGGGAAGUUGAUUUGGGCUUGCUGCUGGAUUGGACAUAUGAGUUUCAUCGCCAGAAAUAGAUUUUGUCAUAAUAUUUGACGCACCUAUAAAAUUUUUCAAACAAAUGUUAGUUAUAGUUAUAAUAUUUUAAUAAAGGUUUUUGAUAUUUUAUAUAUCAUUUUUUCUAGCAAAACUAGGCUUACAUGAUAAAACAAGAAUUAAAAGAGUGAAAAACAAAACAUUUAUCUUCAUUCCUGUUUUGGAAGUUCAACAACAGCUGUAAAAAGUGAGUUUUGGUUGAUGUUUUAAGUUUAUUUUUUGUGAAAUUUAUAAGUUUAGUUGUUUCAUAUUUAUAGCUGGUUUCAGCUAUGUUACACAAUAGUAAUAGUUUAAUCAACAUCUUUUAAGUAAUUAAUAGACAUUAGAAAAACUGUUCUUUUUUUUAAAUAAUAGUAUUCGUUUUCAAAUAUUCAUAUAAGUAUAAUGGUAAUUAUUAUUAGUCAUUAAUUGUUAAGCGUAGAUAAAAACAGUAUUUUCAUUACUGUAUAUUUAACUUUUGAUAUAGUGAGAGUGAAAUAGAGUAUGAAAUCCAACUUUAGAUCAUUAUCGAUAAAAUAUAUUAGUUAUCAAUGUUAUAAGUUUUAUUUUUAGUAGUAUAUUUUUAUACUUACAGUAUCAAAUGUAAGGACACAAACUCGACUUUGAAAUGGUUUUAUAUAUGCCUGGUGAUUUAGCAAAUUUUCGUGUCGACGCACGUAGUUGUUGGUGCAUAUUAAUAAGUAUUAAAGUGAAUUUUUGAUAGCCAAUUUUUUAUCACCAAGCGAGUUUUUUCCGAAUGUUUACCCAUAUUUACAUGGUACUAGAACAAAUUUUUGUGUAAAUAAUUAGCUUUGAANNNNNNNNNNNNNNNNNNNNNNNNNNNNNNNNNNNNNNNNNNNNNNNNNNNNNNNNNNNNNNNNNNNNNNNNNNNNNNNNNNNNNNNNNNNNNNNNNNNNAUAGAAAAAAGUUCAUAGUUUAUUAUAAAAUUGAUCUCUUUUGUUGUGGUUAAUAACAUGCACAAAAUUUAUGUCCAAUACAUUCAUGCGUAGAUAACACAUAUAUUUUUAUAAAGUGUAAAUAAUAUAAAGUUUCAAUGAAAAACUAACACUGAUUUGAAAACAAACGUCUUAUUAUUUUUCAAUAAUAUAUAUUUCAAAGAAAAUACAACAGUUUAUCCAGGAAUAUAUCCUCUUUUAUAAUCACACCAGCAUUUAAAACCACGACAUUCCAACAUAUACCUAUCCUUUCUCAUACAAUGACGUGCACAUUCUUGACAAAAACCAAUUUCGUUCGUAGCAGCAUGGUUUCCAUGAAUUUCAUAAUCGGGAAGUUGAUUUGGGCUUGCUGCUGGAUUGGACGUAUGAGUUUUAUCGCCAGAAAUAGAUUUUGUCAUAUUAUUUGACGCACCUAUAAAAUUUUUCAAACAAAUGUUAGUUAUAGUUAUUAUAUUUUAAUAAAGGUUUUUGAUAUUUUAUAUAUCAUCUUUUCUAGCAAAACUAGACAUACAUGAUAAAACAAGAAUUAAAAGAGUGAAAAACAAAACAUUUAUCUUCAUUCCUGUUUUGGAAGUUCAACAACAGCUGUAAAAAGUGAGUUUUGGUUGAUGUUUUAAGUUUAUUUUUUUGUGAAAUUUAUAAGUUUAGUUGUGUCAUAUUUAUAGCUGUUUUCACUUAUGUUACACAAUAGUAAUAGUUUAAUCAACAUCUUUUAAGUAAUUAAUAGACAUUAGAAAAACUGUUCUUUUUUUUAAAUAAUAGUAUUCGUUUUCAAAUAUUCAUAUAAGUGUAAUGGUAAUUAUUAUUAGUCAUUAAUGUUAAGCGUAGAUAAAAACAGUAUUUUNNNNNNNNNNNNNNNNNNNNNNNNNNNNNNNNNNNNNNNNNNNNNNNNNNNNNNNNNNNNNNNNNNNNNNNNNNNNNNNNNNNNNNNNNNNNNNNNNNNNACCAGUUUUCAUUUCAGAGUUCUUUCAAGAUGAAUAUAGAGAAGAGAAACUGUACAUGAGAAUUUUUAUAGAAUAGUAAAUAUAUCCUGUAUAGUAAGACACUUUUUCUCAAUGUAUACAUUCUCUUAAUCCACUCAAAGUAGUAUGAAAGUGUUAGUGAAAAAAGUUCAUAGUUUAUGUAAAAUUGAUCUCUUUUGUUGUGGUUAAUAACAUUGCACAAAAUUUAUUUCCAAUACAUUCAUGCGUAGAUAACAUAUAUAUUUUUAUAAAGUGUAAAUAAUAUAAAGUUUCAAUGAAAAACUAACAUUGAUUUGAAAACAAACGUCUUAUUAUUUUUCAAUAAUAUAUAUUUCAAAGAAAAUACAACAGUUUAUCCAGGAAUAUAUCCUCUUUUAUAAUCACACCAGCAUUUAAAACCACGACAUUCCAACAUAUACCUAUCCUUUCUCAUACAAUGACGUGCACAUUCUUGACAAAAACCAAUUUCGUUCGUACCAGCAUGGUUUCCAUGAAUUUCAUAAUCGGGAAGUUGAUUUGGGCUUGCUGCUGGAUUGGACAUAUGAGUUUCAUCGCCAGAAAUAGAUUUUGUCAUAAUAUUUGACGCACCUAUAAAAUUUUUCAAACAAAUGUUAGUUAUAGUUAUAAUAUUUUAAUAAAGGUUUUUGAUAUUUUAUAUAUCAUUUUUUCUAGCAAAACUAGGCUUACAUGAUAAAACAAGAAUUAAAAGAGUGAAAAACAAAACAUUUAUCUUCAUUCCUGUUUUGGAAGUUCAACAACAGCUGUAAAAAGUGAGUUUUGGUUGAUGUUUUAAGUUUAUUUUUUGUGAAAUUUAUAAGUUUAGUUGUUUCAUAUUUAUAGCUGGUUUCAGCUAUGUUACACAAUAGUAAUAGUUUAAUCAACAUCUUUUAAGUAAUUAAUAGACAUUAGAAAAACUGUUCUUUUUUUUAAAUAAUAGUAUUCGUUUUCAAAUAUUCAUAUAAGUAUAAUGGUAAUUAUUAUUAGUCAUUAAUUGUUAAGCGUAGAUAAAAACAGUAUUUUCAUUACUGUAUAUUUAACUUUUGAUAUAGUGAGAGUGAAAUAGAGUAUGAAAUCCAACUUUAGAUCAUUAUCGAUAAAAUAUAUUAGUUAUCAAUGUUAUAAGUUUUAUUUUUAGUAGUAUAUUUUUAUACUUACAGUAUCAAAUGUAAGGACACAAACUCGACUUUGAAAUGGUUUUAUAUAUGCCUGGUGNNNNNNNNNNNNNNNNNNNNNNNNNNNNNNNNNNNNNNNNNNNNNNNNNNNNNNNNNNNNNNNNNNNNNNNNNNNNNNNNNNNNNNNNNNNNNNNNNNNNGUCGAUGCCCGUAGUUGUUGGUGCAUAUUAAUAAGUAUUAAAGAGAAUUUUGAUAGCCAAUUUUUAUCACCAAGCGAGUUUUCUCCUAAUUUUUACCCAUAUUUACAUGCUACUAGAAAAAAAUUUUGUGUAAAUAAUUAGCUUUGAAAUUUUUUCCAGCAUAACCAGUUUUCAUUUCAGAGUUCUUUCAAGAUGAAUUAUAGAGAAUAUAAACUGUACAUUGAGAAUUUUUAUAGGAUAGUAAAUAUAUCUUGUAUAGUAAGACACCUUUUCUCAAUGUACACUUUCUCUUAAUCCACUCAAAGUAGUAUGAAAGUGUUAUUGAAAAAAGUUCAUAGUUUAUAUAAAAUUGAUCUCUUUUUUUUGUGGUUAAUAACAUUGCACAAAAUUUAUGUCCAAUACAUUCAUGCGUAGAUAACAUAUAUAUUUUUAUAAAGUGUAAAUAAUAUAAAGUUUUUUAUGAAAAACUAACACUGAUUUGAAAACAAACGUCUUAUUAUUUUUCAAUAAUAUAUAUUUCAAAGAAAAUACAACAGUUUAUCCAGGAACAUAUCCUCUUUUAUAAUCACACCAGCAUUCAAAACCACGACAUUCCAACAUAUACCUAUCCUUUCUCAUACAAUGACGUGCACAUUCUUGACAAAAACCAAUUUCGUUCGUAGCAGCAUGGUUUCCAUGAAUUUCAUAAUCGGGAAGUUGAUUUGGGCUUGCUGCUGGAUUGGAGAUAUGAGUUUUAUCGCCAGAAAUAGAUUUUGUCAUAAUAUUUGACGCACCUAUAAAACUUUUCAAACAAAUGUUAGUUAUAGUUAUUAUAUUUUAAUAAAGGUUUUUGAUAUUUUAUAUAUCAUCUUUACUAGCAUAACUAGGCUUACAUGAUAAAACAAGAAUUAAAAGAGUGAAAAACAAAACAUUUAUCUUCAUUCCUGUUUUGGAAGUUCAACAACAGCUGUAAACAGUGAGUUUUGGUUGAUGUUUUAAGUUUAUUUUUUUGUGAAAUUUAUAAGUUUAGUUGUGUCAUAUUUAUAGCUGUUUUCACCUAUGUUACACAAUAGUAAUAGUUUAAUCAACAUCUUUUAAGUAAUUAAUAGACAUUAGCAAAACUGUUCUUUUUUUAAAUAAUAGUAUUCGUUUUCAAAUAUUCAUAUAAGUGUAAUGGUAAUUAUUAUUAGUCAUUAAUUGUUAAACGUAGAUAAAAACAGUAUUUUCAUUACUGUAUAUUUAAUUUUUUGUAUAGAGAGAGUGAAAUAGAGUAUGAAAUCCAACUUGAGAUAAUUAUCGAUAAAAUAUAUUAGUUAUCAAUGUUAUAAGUUUUAUUUUUAGUAGUAUAUUUUUAUACUAAUAGUAUCAAAUGUAAGAACACAAACUCGACUUUGAAAUGGUUUUAUAUAUGCCUGGUCAUUUAGCAAAUUUUCGUGUCGAUGCCCGUAGUUGUUGGUGCAUAUUAAUAAGUAUUAAAGAGAAUUUUUGAUAGCCAAUUUUUUAUCACCAAGCGAGUUUUCUCCUAAUUUUUACCCAUAUUUACAUGCUACUAGAAAAAAAUUUUGUGUAAAUAAUUAGCUUUGAAAUUUUUUCCAGCAUAACCAGUUUUCAUUUCAGAGUUCUUUCAAGAUGAAUUAUAGAGAAUAUAAACUGUACAUUGAGAAUUUUUAUAGGAUAGUAAAUAUAUCUUGUAUAGUAAGACACCUUUUCUCAAUGUACACUUUCUCUUAAUCCACUUAAAGUAGUAUGAAAGUGUUAUUGAAAAAAGUUCAUAGUUUCUAUAAAAUUGAUCUCUUUUUGUUGUGGUUAAUAACAUUGCACAAAAUUUAUGUCCAAUACAUUCAUGCGUAGAUAACAUAUAUAUUUUUAUAAAGUGUAAAUAAUAUAAAGUUUUUUAUGAAAAACUAACACUGAUUUGAAAACAAACGUCUUAUUAUUUUUCAAUAAUAUAUAUUUCAAAGAAAAUACAACAGUUUAUCCAGGAACAUAUCCUCUUUUAUAAUCACACCAGCAUUCAAAACCACGACAUUCCAACAUAUACCUAUCCUUUCUCAUACAAUGACGUGCACAUUCUUGACAAAAACCAAUUUCGUUCGUAGCAGCAUGGUUUCCAUGAAUUUCAUAAUCGGGAAGUUGAUUUGGGCUUGCUGCUGGAUUGGAGAUAUGAGUUUUAUCGCCAGAAAUAGAUUUUGUCAUAAUAUUUGACGCACCUAUAAAACUUUUCAAACAAAUGUUAGUUAUAGUUAUUAUAUUUUAAUAAAGGUUUUUGAUAUUUUAUAUAUCAUCUUUACUAGCAUAACUAGGCUUACAUGAUAAAACAAGAAUUAAAAGAGUGAAAAACAAAACAUUUAUCUUCAUUCCUGUUUUGGAAGUUCAACAACAGCUGUAAACAGUGAGUUUUGGUUGAUGUUUUAAGUUUAUUUUUUUGUGAAAUUUAUAAGUUUAGUUGUGUCAUAUUUAUAGCUGUUUUCACCUAUGUUACACAAUAGUAAUAGUUUAAUCAACAUCUUUUAAGUAAUUAAUAGACAUUAGAAAAACUGUUCUUUUCUUUAAAUAAUAGUAUUCGUUUUCAAAUAUUCAUAUAAGUGUAAUGGUAAUUAUUAUUAGUCAUUAAUUGUUAAGUGUAGAUAAAAACAGUAUUUUCAUUAUUGUAUAUUUAAUUUUUUUAUAUAGAGAGAGUGAAAUAGAGUAUGAAAUCCAACUUGAGAUCAUUAUCGAUAAAAUAUAUUAGUUAUCAAUGUUAUAAGUUUUAUUUUUAGUAGUAUAUUUUUAUACUAAUAGUAUCAAAUGUAAGAACACAAACUCGACUUUGAAAUGGUUUUAUAUAUGCCUGGUCAUUUAGCAAAUUUUCGUGUCGAUGCCCGUAGUUGUUGGUGCAUAUUAAUAAGUAUUAAAGAGAAUUUUUGAUAGCCAAUUUUUUAUCACCAAGCGAGUUUUCUCCUAAUUUUUACCCAUAUUUACAUGCUACUAGAAAAAAAUUUUGUGUAAAUAAUUAGCUUUGAAAUUUUUCCAGCAUAACCAGUUUUCAUUUCAGAGUUCUUUCAAGAUGAAUUAUAGAGAAUAUAAACUGUACAUUGAGAAUUUUUAUAGGAUAGUAAAUAUAUCUUGUAUAGUAAGACACCUUUUCUCAAUGUACACUUUCUCUUAAUCCACUUAAAGUAGUAUGAAAGUGUUAUUGAAAAAAGUUCAUAGUUUCUAUAAAAUUGAUCUCUUUUUGUUGUGGUUAAUAACAUUGCACAAAAUUUAUGUCCAAUACAUUCAUGCGUAGAUAACAUAUAUAUUUUUAUAAAGUGUAAAUAAUAUAAAGUUUUUUAUGAAAAACUAACACUGAUUUGAAAACAAACGUCUUAUUAUUUUUCAAUAAUAUAUAUUUCAAAGAAAAUACAACGGUUUAUCCAGGAACAUAUCCUCUUUUAUAAUCACACCAGCAUUCAAAACCACGACAUUCCAACAUAUACCUAUCCUUUCUCAUACAAUGACGUGCACAUUCUUGACAAAAACCAAUUUCGUUCGUAGCAGCAUGGUUUCCAUGAAUUUCAUAAUCGGGAAGUUGAUUUGGGCUUGCUGCUGGAUUGGAGAUAUGAGUUUUAUCGCCAGAAAUAGAUUUUGUCAUAAUAUUUGACGCACCUAUAAAACUUUUCAAACAAAUGUUAGUUAUAGUUAUUAUAUUUUAAUAAAGGUUUUUGAUAUUUUAUAUAUCAUCUUUACUAGCAUAACUAGGCUUACAUGAUAAAACAAGAAUUAAAAGAGUGAAAAACAAAACAUUUAUCUUCAUUCCUGUUUUGGAAGUUCAACAACAGCUGUAAACAGUGAGUUUUGGUUGAUGUUUUAAGUUUAUUUUUUUGUGAAAUUUAUAAGUUUAGUUGUGUCAUAUUUAUAGCUGUUUUCACCUAUGUUACACAAUAGUAAUAGUUUAAUCAACAUCUUUUAAGUAAUUAAUAGACAUUAGCAAAACUGUUCUUUUUUUAAAUAAUAGUAUUCGUUUUCAAAUAUUCAUAUAAGUGUAAUGGUAAUUAUUAUUAGUCAUUAAUUGUUAAACGUAGAUAAAAACAGUAUUUUCAUUACUGUAUAUUUAAUUUUUUGUAUAGAGAGAGUGAAAUAGAGUAUGAAAUCCAACUUGAGAUAAUUAUCGAUAAAAUAUAUUAGUUAUCAAUGUUAUAAGUUUUAUUUUUAGUAGUAUAUUUUUAUACUAAUAGUAUCAAAUGUAAGAACACAAACUCGACUUUGAAAUGGUUUUAUAUAUGCCUGGUCAUUUAGCAAAUUUUCGUGUCGAUGCCCGUAGUUGUUGGUGCAUAUUAAUAAGUAUUAAAGAGAAUUUUUGAUAGCCAAUUUUUUAUCACCAAGCGAGUUUUCUCCUAAUUUUUACCCAUAUUUACAUGCUACUAGAAAAAAAUUUUGUGUAAAUAAUUAGCUUUGAAAUUUUUUCCAGCAUAACCAGUUUUCAUUUCAGAGUUCUUUCAAGAUGAAUUAUAGAGAAUAUAAACUGUACAUUGAGAAUUUUUAUAGGAUAGUAAAUAUAUCUUGUAUAGUAAGACACCUUUUCUCAAUGUACACUUUCUCUUAAUCCACUUAAAGUAGUAUGAAAGUGUUAUUGAAAAAAGUUCAUAGUUUCUAUAAAAUUGAUCUCUUUUUGUUGUGGUUAAUAACAUUGCACAAAAUUUAUGUCCAAUACAUUCAUGCGUAGAUAACAUAUAUAUUUUUAUAAAGUGUAAAUAAUAUAAAGUUUUUUAUGAAAAACUAACACUGAUUUGAAAACAAACGUCUUAUUAUUUUUCAAUAAUAUAUAUUGCAAAGAAAAUACAACAGUUUAUCCAGGAACAUAUCCUCUUUUAUAAUCACACCAGCAUUCAAAACCACGACAUUCCAACAUAUACCUAUCCUUUCUCAUACAAUGACGUGCACAUUCUUGACAAAAACCAAUUUCGUUCGUAGCAGCAUGGUUUCCAUGAAUUUCAUAAUCGGGAAGUUGAUUUGGGCUUGCUGCUGGAUUGGACAUAUGAGUUUUAUCGCCAGAAAUAGAUUUUGUCAUAAUAUUUGACGCACCUAUAAAACUUUUCAAACAAAUGUUAGUUAUAGUUAUUAUAUUUUAAUAAAGGUUUUUGAUAUUUUAUAUAUCAUCUUUACUAGCAUAACUAGGCUUACAUGAUAAAACAAGAAUUAAAAGAGUGAAAAACAAAACAUUUAUCUUCAUUCCUGUUUUGGAAGUUCAACAACAGCUGUAAACAGUGAGUUUUGGUUGAUGUUUUAAGUUUAUUUUUUUGUGAAAUUUAUAAGUUUAGUUGUGUCAUAUUUAUAGCUGUUUUCACCUAUGUUACACAAUAGUAAUAGUUUAAUCAACAUCUUUUAAGUAAUUAAUAGACAUUAGAAAAACUGUUCUUUUCUUUAAAUAAUAGUAUUUGUUUUCAAAUAUUCAUAUAAGUGUAAUGGUAAUUAUUAUUAAUCAUUAAUUGUUAAGCGUAGAUAAAAACAGUAUUUUCAUUAUUGUAUAUUUAAUUUUUUUAUAUAGAGAGAGUGAAAUAGAGUAUGAAAUCCAACUUGAGAUCAUUAUCGAUAAAAUAUAUUAGUUAUCAAUCUUAUAAGUUUUAUUUUUAGUAGUAUAUUUUUCUACUAACAGUAUCAAAUGUAAGAACACAAACUCGACUUUGAAAUGGUUUUAUAUAUGCCUGGUGAUUUAGCAAAUUUUCGUGUCGACGCACGUAGUUGUUGGUGCAUAUUAAUAUGUAUUAAAGAAAUUUUUGAUAGCCAUUUUUUUAUCACCAAGCGAGUUUUCUCCGAAUUUUUACCCAUAUUUACAUGGUACUAGAACAAAUUUUUGGGUAAAUAAUUAGCUUUGAAAUUUUUUCCAGCGUAACCAUUUUUUAUUUCAGAGUUCUUUCAAGAUGAAUUAUAGAGAAGAGAAACUGUACAUUGAGAAUUUUUAAUGGAUAGUAAAUAUAUCCUGUAUAGUAAUACACUUUUUCUCAAUGUACACAUUCUCUUAAUCCACUCAAAGUAGUAUGAAAGUGUUAUUGAAAAAAGUUCAUAGUUUAUAUAAAAUUGAUCUCUUUUUGUUGUGGUUAAUAGCAUUGCACAAAAUUUAUGUCCAAUACAUUCAUGCGUAGAUAACAUAUAUAUUUUUAUAAAGUGUAAAUAAUAUAUAGUUUCAAUGAAAAACUAACAUUGAUUUGAAAACAACGUCUUAUUAUUUUUCAAUAAUAAAUAUUUCAAAGAAAAUACAACAGUUUAUCCUGGAAUAUAUCUUCUUUUAUAAUCACACCAGUAUUUAAAACAACGACAUUCCAACAUAUACCUAUCCUUUCUCAUACAAUGACGUGCACAUUCUUGACAAAAACCAAUUUCGUUCGUAGCAGCAUGGUUUCCAUGAAUUUCAUAAUCGGGAAGUUGAUUUGGGGUUGCUGCUGGAUUGGACAUAUGAGUUUCAUCGCCAAAAAUAGAUUUUGUCAUAAUAUUUGACGCACCUAUAAAAUUUUUCAAACAAAUGUUAGUUAUAGUUAUAAUAUUUUAAUAAAGGCUUUUGAUAUUUUAUAUAUCAUCUUUUCUAGCAAAACUAGGCUUACAUGAUAAAACAAGAAUAAAAAGAGUGAAAAACAAAACAUUUAUCUUCAUUCCUGUUUUGGAAGUUCAACAACAACUGUAAACAGUGAGUUUUGGUUGAUGUUUUAAGUUUAUUUUUUUGUGAAAUUUAUAAGUUUAGUUGUGUCAUAUUUAUAGCUGUUUUCACCUAUGUUACACAAUAGUAAUAGUUUAAUCAACAUCUUUUAAGUAAUUAAUAGACAUUAGCAAAACUGUUCUUUUUUUAAAUAAUAGUAUUCGUUUUCAAAUAUUCAUAUAAGUGUAAUGGUAAUUAUUAUUAGUCAUUAAUUGUUAAACGUAGAUAAAAACAGUAUUUUCAUUACUGUAUAUUUAAUUUUUUGUAUAGAGAGAGUGAAAUAGAGUAUGAAAUCCAACUUGAGAUAAUUAUCGAUAAAAUAUAUUAGUUAUCAAUGUUAUAAGUUUUAUUUUUAGUAGUAUAUUUUUAUACUAAUAGUAUCAAAUGUAAGAACACAAACUCGACUUUGAAAUGGUUUUAUAUAUGCCUGGUCAUUUAGCAAAUUUUCGUGUCUAUGCCCGUAGUUGUUGGUGCAUAUUAAUAAGUAUUAAAGAGAAUUUUUGAUAGCCAAUUUUUUAUCACCAAGCGAGUUUUCUCCUAAUUUUUACCCAUAUUUACAUGCUACUAGAAAAAAAUUUUGUGUAAAUAAUUAGCUUUGAAAUUUUUUCCAGCAUAACCAGUUUUCAUUUCAGAGUUCUUUCAAGAUGAAUUAUAGAGAAUAUAAACUGUACAUUGAGAAUUUUUAUAGGAUAGUAAAUAUAUCUUGUAUAGUAAGACACCUUUUCUCAAUGUACACUUUCUCUUAAUCCACUUAAAGUAGUAUGAAAGUGUUAUUGAAAAAAGUUCAUAGUUUCUAUAAAAUUGAUCUCUUUUUGUUGUGGUUAAUAACAUUGCACAAAAUUUAUGUCCAAUACAUUCAUGCGUAGAUAACACAUAUAUUUUUAUAAAGUGUAAAUAAUAUAAAGUUUCAAUGAAAAACUAACACUGAUUUGAAAACAAACGUCUUAUUAUUUUUCAAUAAUAUAUAUUUCAAAGAAAAUACAACAGUUUAUCCUGGAAUAUAUCCUCUUUUAUAAUCACACCAGCAUUUAAAACCACGACAUUCCAACAUAUACCUAUCCUUUCAAAUACAAUGACGUGCACAUUCUUGACAAAAACCAAUUUCGUUCGUAGCAGCAUGGUUUCCAUGAAUUUCAUAAUCGGGAAGUUGAUUUGGGGUUGCUGCUGGAUUGGACAUAUGAGUUUCAUCGCCAAAAAUAGAUUUUGUCAUAAUAUUUGACGCACCUAUAAAAUUUUUCAAACAAAUGUUAGUUAUAGUUAUAAUAUUUUAAUAAAGGUUUUUGAUAUUUUAUAUAUCAUCUUUUCUAGCAAAACUAGGCUUACAUGAUAAAACAAGAAAUAAAAGAGUGAAAAACAAAACAUUUAUCUUCAUUCCUGUUUUGGAAGUUCAACAACAGCUGUAAACAGUGAGUUUUGGUUGAUGUUUUAAGUUUGUUUUUUUGUGAAAUUUAUAAGUUUAGUUGUGUCAUAUUUAUAGCUGUUUCAACCCAUGUUAUACAAUAGUAAUAGUUUAAUCAACAUCUUUUAAGUAAUUAAUAGACAUUAGAAAAACUGUUCUUUUUUUUAAAUAAUAGUAUUCGUUUUCAAAUAUUCAUAUAAGUGUAAUGGUAAUUAUUAUUAGUCAUUAAUUGUUAAGCGUAGAUAAAAACAGUAUUUUCAUUAUUGUACAUUUAAUUUUUUUAUAUAGAGAGAGUGAAAUAGAGUAUGAAAUCCAACUUGAGAUCAUUAUCGAUAAAAUAUAUUAGUUAUCAAUGUUAUAAGUUUUAUUUUUAGUAGUAUAUUUUUCUACUAACAGUAUCAAAUGUAAGAACACAAACUCGACUUUGAAAUGGUUUUAUAUAUGCCUGGUGAUUUAGCAAAUUUUCGUGUCGACGCACGUAGUUGUUGGUGCAUAUUAAUAUGUAUUAAAGAAAUUUUUGAUAGCCAAUUUUAUAUCACCAAGCGAGUUUUCUCCGAAUUUUUACCCAUAUUUACAUGGUACUAGAACAAAUUUUUGGGUAAAUAAUUAGCUUUGAAAUUUUUUCCAGCGUAACCAUUUUUUAUUUCAGAGUUCUUUCAAGAUGAAUUAUAGAGAAGAGAAACUGUACAUUGAGAAUUUUUAUAGGAUAGUAAAUAUAUCCUGUAUAGUAAUACACUUUUUCUCAAUGUACACAUUCUCUUAAUCCACUCAAAGUAGUAUGAAAGUGUUAUUGAAAAAAGUUCAUAGUUUAUAUAAAAUUGAUCUCUUUUUGUUGUGGUUAAUAGCAUUGCACAAAAUUUAUGUCCAAUACAUUCAAGCGUAGAUAACAUAUAUAUUUUUAUAAAGUGUAAAUAAUAUAUAGUUUCAAUGAAAAACUAACAUUGAUUUGAAAACAACGUCUUAUUAUUUUUCAAUAAUAAAUAUUUCAAAGAAAAUACAACAGUUUAUCCUGGAAUAUAUCUUCUUUUAUAAUCACACCAGUAUUUAAAACAACGACAUUCCAACAUAUACCUAUCCUUUCUCAUACAAUGACGUGCACAUUCUUGACAAAAACCAAUUUCGUUCGUAGCAGCAUGGUUUCCAUGAAUUUCAUAAUCGGGAAGUUGAUUUGGGGUUGCUGCUGGAUUGGACAUAUGAGUUUCAUCGCCAAAAAUAGAUUUUGUCAUAAUAUUUGACGCACCUAUAAAAUUUUUCAAACAAAUGUUAGUUAUAGUUAUAAUAUUUUAAUAAAGGCUUUUGAUAUUUUAUAUAUCAUCUUUUCUAGCAAAACUAGGCUUACAUGAUAAAACAAGAAUAAAAGAGUGAAAAACAAAACAUUUAUCUUCAUUCCUGUUUUGGAAGUUCAACAACAACUGUAAACAGUGAGUUUUGGUUGAUGUUUUAAGUUUAUUUUUUUGUGAAAUUUAUAAGUUUAGUUGUGUCAUAUUUAUAGCUGUUUUCACCUAUGUUACACAAUAGUAAUAGUUUAAUCAACAUCUUUUAAGUAAUUAAUAGACAUUAGCAAAACUGUUCUUUUUUUAAAUAAUAGUAUUCGUUUUCAAAUAUUUAUAUAAGUGUAAUGGUAAUUAUUAUUAGUCAUUAAUUGUUAAACGUAGAUAAAAACAGUAUUUUCAUUACUGUAUAUUUAAUUUUUUGUAUAGAGAGAGUGAAAUAGAGUAUGAAAUCCAACUUGAGAUAAUUAUCGAUAAAAUAUAUUAGUUAUCAAUGUUAUAAGUUUUAUUUUUAGUAGUAUAUUUUUAUACUAAUAGUAUCAAAUGUAAGAACACAAACUCGACUUUGAAAUGGUUUUAUAUAUGCCUGGUCAUUUAGCAAAUUUUCGUGUCGAUGCCCGUAGUUGUUGGUGCAUAUUAAUAAGUAUUAAAGAGAAUUUUUGAUAGCCAAUUUUUUAUCACCAAGCGAGUUUUCUCCUAAUUUUUACCCAUAUUUACAUGCUACUAGAAAAAAAUUUUGUGUAAAUAAUUAGCUUUGAAAUUUUUUCCAGCAUAACCAGUUUUCAUUUCAGAGUUCUUUCAAGAUGAAUUAUAGAGAAUAUAAACUGUACAUUGAGAAUUUUUAUAGGAUAGUAAAUAUAUCUUGUAUAGUAAGACACCUUUUCUCAAUGUACACUUUCUCUUAAUCCACUUAAAGUAGUAUGAAAGUGUUAUUGAAAAAAGUUCAUAGUUUCUAUAAAAUUGAUCUCUUUUUGUUGUGGUUAAUAACAUUGCACAAAAUUUAUGUCCAAUACAUUCAUGCGUAGAUAACAUAUAUAUUUUUAUAAAGUGUAAAUAAUAUAAAGUUUUUUAUGAAAAACUAACACUGAUUUGAAAACAAACGUCUUAUUAUUUUUCAAUAAUAUAUAUUUCAAAGAAAAUACAACAGUUUAUCCAGGAACAUAUCCUCUUUUAUAAUCACACCAGCAUUCAAAACCACGACAUUCCAACAUAUACCUAUCCUUUCUCAUACAAUGACGUGCACAUUCUUGACAAAAACCAAUUUCGUUCGUAGCAGCAUGGUUUCCAUGAAUUUCAUAAUCGGGAAGUUGAUUUGGGCUUGCUGCUGGAUUGGAGAUAUGAGUUUUAUCGCCAGAAAUAGAUUUUGUCAUAAUAUUUGACGCACCUAUAAAACUUUUCAAACAAAUGUUAGUUAUAGUUAUUAUAUUUUAAUAAAGGUUUUUGAUAUUUUAUAUAUCAUCUUUACUAGCAUAACUAGGCUUACAUGAUAAAACAAGAAUUAAAAGAGUGAAAAACAAAACAUUUAUCUUCAUUCCUGUUUUGGAAGUUCAACAACAGCUGUAAACAGUGAGUUUUGGUUGAUGUUUUAAGUUUAUUUUUUUGUGAAAUUUAUAAGUUUAGUUGUGUCAUAUUUAUAGCUGUUUUCACCUAUGUUACACAAUAGUAAUAGUUUAAUCAACAUCUUUUAAGUAAUUAAUAGACAUUAGAAAAACUGUUCUUUUCUUUAAAUAAUAGUAUUCGUUUUCAAAUAUUCAUAUAAGUGUAAUGGUAAUUAUUAUUAGUCAUUAAUUGUUAAACGUAGAUAAAAACAGUAUUUUCAUUACUGUAUAUUUAAUUUUUUGUAUAGAGAGAGUGAAAUAGAGUAUGAAAUCCAACUUGAGAUAAUUAUCGAUAAAAUAUAUUAGUUAUCAAUGUUAUAAGUUUUAUUUUUAGUAGUAUAUUUUUAUACUAAUAGUAUCAAAUGUAAGAACACAAACUCGACUUUGAAAUGGUUUUAUAUAUGCCUGGUCAUUUAGCAAAUUUUCGUGUCGAUGCCCGUAGUUGUUGGUGCAUAUUAAUAAGUAUUAAAGAGAAUUUUUGAUAGCCAAUUUUUUAUCACCAAGCGAGUUUUCUCCUAAUUUUUACCCAUAUUUACAUGCUACUAGAAAAAAAUUUUGUGUAAAUAAUUAGCUUUGAAAUUUUUUCCAGCAUAACCAGUUUUCAUUUCAGAGUUCUUUCAAGAUGAAUUAUAGAGAAUAUAAACUGUACAUUGAGAAUUUUUAUAGGAUAGUAAAUAUAUCUUGUAUAGUAAGACACCUUUUCUCAAUGUACACUUUCUCUUAAUCCACUCAAAGUAGUAUGAAAGUGUUAUUGAAAAAAGUUCAUAGUUUAUAUAAAAUUGAUCUCUUUUUUUUGUGGUUAAUAACAUUGCACAAAAUUUAUGUCCAAUACAUUCAUGCGUAGAUAACAUAUAUAUUUUUAUAAAGUGUAAAUAAUAUAAAGUUUUUUAUGAAAAACUAACACUGAUUUGAAAACAAACGUCUUAUUAUUUUUCAAUAAUAUAUAUUUCAAAGAAAAUACAACAGUUUAUCCAGGAACAUAUCCUCUUUUAUAAUCACACCAGCAUUCAAAACCACGACAUUCCAACAUAUACCUAUCCUUUCUCAUACAAUGACGUGCACAUUCUUGACAAAAACCAAUUUCGUUCGUAGCAGCAUGGUUUCCAUGAAUUUCAUAAUCGGGAAGUUGAUUUGGGCUUGCUGCUGGAUUGGAGAUAUGAGUUUUAUCGCCAGAAAUAGAUUUUGUCAUAAUAUUUGACGCACCUAUAAAACUUUUCAAACAAAUGUUAGUUAUAGUUAUUAUAUUUUAAUAAAGGUUUUUGAUAUUUUAUAUAUCAUCUUUACUAGCAUAACUAGGCUUACAUGAUAAAACAAGAAUUAAAAGAGUGAAAAACAAAACAUUUAUCUUCAUUCCUGUUUUGGAAGUUCAACAACAGCUGUAAACAGUGAGUUUUGGUUGAUGUUUUAAGUUUAUUUUUUUGUGAAAUUUAUAAGUUUAGUUGUGUCAUAUUUAUAGCUGUUUUCACCUAUGUUACACAAUAGUAAUAGUUUAAUCAACAUCUUUUAAGUAAUUAAUAGACAUUAGAAAAACUGUUCUUUUCUUUAAAUAAUAGUAUUCGUUUUCAAAUAUUCAUAUAAGUGUAAUGGUAAUUAUUAUUAGUCAUUAAUUGUUAAGCGUAGAUAAAAACAGUAUUUUCAUUAUUGUAUAUUUAAUUUUUUUAUAUAGAGAGAGUGAAAUAGAGUAUGAAAUCCAACUUGAGAUCAUUAUCGAUAAAAUAUAUUAGUUAUCAAUGUUAUAAGUUUUAUUUUUAGUAGUAUAUUUUUAUACUAAUAGUAUCAAAUGUAAGAACACAAACUCGACUUUGAAAUGGUUUUAUAUAUGCCUGGUCAUUUAGCAAAUUUUCGUGUCGAUGCCCGUAGUUGUUGGUGCAUAUUAAUAAGUAUUAAAGAGAAUUUUUGAUAGCCAAUUUUUUAUCACCAAGCGAGUUUUCUCCUAAUUUUUACCCAUAUUUACAUGCUACUAGAAAAAAAUUUUGUGUAAAUAAUUAGCUUUGAAAUUUUUUCCAGCAUAACCAGUUUUCAUUUCAGAGUUCUUUCAAGAUGAAUUAUAGAGAAUAUAAACUGUACAUUGAGAAUUUUUAUAGGAUAGUAAAUAUAUCCUGUAUAGUAAUACACUUUUUCUCAGUGUACACUUUCUCUUAAUCCACUCAAAGUAGUAUGAAAGUGUUAUUGAAAAAAGUUCAUAGUUUAUAUAAAAUUGAUCUCUUUUUGUUGUGGUUAAUAACAUUGCACAAAAUUUAUGUCCAAUACAUUCAUGCGUAGAUAACAUAUAUAUUUUUAUAAAGUGUAAAUAAUAUAAAGUUUCAAUGAAAAACUAACACUGAUUUGAAAACAAACGUCUUAUUAUUUUUCAAUAAUAUAUAUUUCAAAGAAAAUACAACAGUUUAUCCUGGAAUAUAUCCUCUUUUAUAAUCACACCAGCAUUUAAAACCACGACAUUCCAACAUAUACCUAUCCUUUCAAAUACAAUGACGUGCACAUUCUUGACAAAAACCAAUUUCGUUCGUAGCAGCAUGGUUUCCAUGAAUUUCAUAAUCGGGAAGUUGAUUUGGGGUUGCUGCUGGAUUGGACAUAUGAGUUUCAUCGCCAAAAAUAGAUUUUGUCAUAAUAUUUGACGCACCUAUAAAAUUUUUCAAACAAAUGUUAGUUAUAGUUAUAAUAUUUUAAUAAAGGUUUUUGAUAUUUUAUAUAUCAUCUUUUCUAGCAAAACUAGGCUUACAUGAUAAAACAAGAAAUAAAAGAGUGAAAAACAAAACAUUUAUCUUCAUUCCUGUUUUGGAAGUUCAACAACAGCUGUAAACAGGGAGUUUUGGUUGAUGUUUUAAGUUUAUUUUUUUGUGAAAUUUAUAAGUUUAGUUGUGUCAUAUUUAUAGCUGUUUUCACCUAUGUUACACAAUAGUAAUAGUUUAAUCAACAUCUUUUAAGUAAUUAAUAGACAUUAGCAAAACUGUUCUUUUCUUUAAAUAAUAGUAUUCGUUUUCAAAUAUUCAUAUAAGUGUAAUGGUAAUUAUUAUUAGUCAUUAAUUGUUAAGUGUAGAUAAAAAUAGUAUUUUCAUUAUUGUAUAUUUAAUUUUUUAUAUAGAGAGAGUGAAAUAGAGUAUGAAAUCCAUCUUGAGAUCAUUAUCGAUAAAAUAUAUUAGUUAUCAAUGUUAUAAGUUUUAUUUUUAGUAGUAUAUUUUUAUACUAACAGUAUCAAAUGUAAGAGCACAAACUCGACUUUGAAAUGGUUUUAUAUAUGCCUGGUGAUUUAGCAAAUUUUCGUGUCGACGCACGUAGUUGUUGGUGCAUAUUAAUAAGUAUUAAAGAGAAUUUUUGAUAGCCAAUUUUUUAUCACCAAGCGAGUUUUCUCCAAAUUUUUACCCAUAUUUACAUGGUACUAGAACAAAUUUUUGUGUAAAUAAUUAGCUUUGAAAUUUUUUCCAGCAUAACCAGUUUUCAUUUCAGAGUUCUUUCAAGAUGAAUUAUAGAGAAGAGAAACUGUACAUUGAGAAUUUUUAUAGGAUAGUAAAUAUAUCUUGUAUAGUAAGACACCUUUUCUCAAUGUACACUUUCUCUUAAUCCACUUAAAGUAGUAUGAAAGUGUUAUUGAAAAAAGUUCAUAGUUUCUAUAAAAUUGAUCUCUUUUUGUUGUGGUUAAUAACAUUGCACAAAAUUUAUGUCCAAUACAUUCAUGCGUAGAUAACAUAUAUAUUUUUAUAAAGUGUAAAUAAUAUAAAGUUUUUUAUGAAAAACUAACACUGAUUUGAAAACAAACGUCUUAUUAUUUUUCAAUAAUAUAUAUUGCAAAGAAAAUACAACAGUUUAUCCAGGAACAUAUCCUCUUUUAUAAUCACACCAGCAUUCAAAACCACGACAUUCCAACAUAUACCUAUCCUUUCUCAUACAAUGACGUGCACAUUCUUGACAAAAACCAAUUUCGUUCGUAGCAGCAUGGUUUCCAUGAAUUUCAUAAUCGGGAAGUUGAUUUGGGCUUGCUGCUGGAUUGGAGAUAUGAGUUUUAUCGCCAGAAAUAGAUUUUGUCAUAAUAUUUGACGCACCUAUAAAACUUUUCAAACAAAUGUUAGUUAUAGUUAUUAUAUUUUAAUAAAGGUUUUUGAUAUUUUAUAUAUCAUCUUUACUAGCAUAACUAGGCUUACAUGAUAAAACAAGAAUUAAAAGAGUGAAAAACAAAACAUUUAUCUUCAUUCCUGUUUUGGAAGUUCAACAACAGCUGUAAACAGUGAGUUUUGGUUGAUGUUUUAAGUUUAUUUUUUUGUGAAAUUUAUAAGUUUAGUUGUGUCAUUUUUANNNNNNNNNNNNNNNNNNNNNNNNNNNNNNNNNNNNNNNNNNNNNNNNNNNNNNNNNNNNNNNNNNNNNNNNNNNNNNNNNNNNNNNNNNNNNNNNNNNNNNNNNNNNNNNNNNNNNNNNNNNNNNNNNNNNNNNNNNNNNNNNNNNNNNNNNNNNNNNNNNNNNNNNNNNNNNNNNNNNNNNNNNNNNNNNNNNNNNNNNNNNNNNNNNNNNNNNNNNNNNNNNNNNNNNNNNNNNNNNNNNNNNNNNNNNNNNNNNNNNNNNNNNNNNNNNNNNNNNNNNNNNNNNNNNNNNNNNNNNNNNNNNNNNNNNNNNNNNNNNNNNNNNNNNNNNNNNNNNUUUUAUCACCAAGCGAGUUUUCUCCCUAAUUUUUACCCAUAUUUACAUGCUACUAGAAAAAAAUUUUGUGUAAAUAAUUAGCUUUGAAAUUUUUUCCAGCAUAACCAGUUUUCAUUUCAGAGUUCUUUCUAGAUGAAUUAUAGAGAAUAUAAACUGUACAUUGAGAAUUUUUAUAGGAUAGUAAAUAUAUCUUGUAUAGUAAGACACCUUUUCUCAAUGUACACUUUCUCUUAAUCCACUUAAAGUAGUAUGAAAGUGUUAUUGAAAAAAGUUCAUAGUUUCUAUAAAAUUGAUCUCUUUUUGUUGUGGUUAAUAACAUUGCACAAAAUUUAUGUCCAAUACAUUCAUGCGUAGAUAACACAUAUAUUUUUAUAAAGUGUAAAUAAUAUAAAGUUUCAAUGAAAAACUAACACUGAUUUGAAAACAAACGUCUUAUUAUUUUUCAAUAAUAUAUAUUUCAAAGAAAAUACAACAGUUUAUCCUGGAAUAUAUCCUCUUUUAUAAUCACACCAGCAUUUAAAACCACGACAUUCCAACAUAUACCUAUCCUUUCAAAUACAAUGACGUGCACAUUCUUGACAAAAACCAAUUUCGUUCGUAGCAGCAUGGUUUCCAUGAAUUUCAUAAUCGGGAAGUUGAUUUGGGGUUGCUGCUGGAUUGGACAUAUGAGUUUCAUCGCCAAAAAUAGAUUUUGUCAUAAUAUUUGACGCACCUAUAAAAUUUUUCAAACAAAUGUUAGUUAUAGUUAUAAUAUUUUAAUAAAGGUUUUUGAUAUUUUAUAUAUCAUCUUUUCUAGCAAAACUAGGCUUACAUGAUAAAACAAGAAAUAAAAGAGUGAAAAACAAAACAUUUAUCUUCAUUCCUGUUUUGGAAGUUCAACAACAGCUGUAAACAGGGAGUUUUGGUUGAUGUUUUAAGUUUAUUUUUUUGUGAAAUUUAUAAGUUUAGUUGUGUCAUAUUUAUAGCUGUUUUCACCUAUGUUACACAAUAGUAAUAGUUUAAUCAACAUCUUUUAAGUAAUUAAUAGACAUUAGAAAAACUGUUCUUUUCUUUAAAUAAUAGUAUUCGUUUUCAAAUAUUCAUAUAAGUGUAAUGGUAAUUAUUAUUAGUCAUUAAUUGUUAAGCGUAGAUAAAAACAGUAUUUUCAUUAUUGUAUAUUUAAUUUUUUAUAUAGAGAGAGUGAAAUAGAGUAUGAAAUCCAACUUGAGAUCAUUAUCGAUAAAAUAUAUUAGUUAUCAAUGUUAUAAGUUUUAUUUUUAGUAGUAUAUUUUUAUACUAACAGUAUCAAAUGUAAGAGCACAAACUCGACUUUGAAAUGGUUUUAUAUAUGCCUGGUGAUUUAGCAAAUUUUCGUGUCGACGCACGUAGUUGUUGGUGCAUAUUAAUAACUAUUAAAGAGAAUUUUCGAUAGCCAAUUUUUUAUCACCAAGCGAGUUUUCUCCGAAUUUUUACCCAUAUUUACAUGGUACUAGAACAAAUUUUUGUGUAAAUAAUUAGCUUUGAAAUUUUUUUCAGCAUAACCAGUUUUCAUUUCAGAGUUCUUUCAAGAUGAAUUAUAGAGAAGAGAAACUGUACAUUGAGAAUUGUUAUAGGAUAGUAAAUAUAUCCUGUAUAGUAAUACACUUUUUCUCAGUGUACACUUUCUCUUAAUCCACUCAAAGUAGUAUGAAAGUGUUAUUGAAAAAAGUUCAUAGUUUAUAUAAAGGUCAUGNNNNNNNNNNNNNNNNNNNNNNNNNNNNNNNNNNNNNNNNNNNNNNNNNNNNNNNNNNNNNNNNNNNNNNNNNNNNNNNNNNNNNNNNNNNNNNNNNNNNUUUUCUAGCAUAACUAGGCUUACAUGAUAAAACAAGAAUUAAAAGAGUGAAAAACAAAACAUUUAUCUUCAUUCCUGUUUUGGAAGUUCAACAACAGCCGUAAAAAGUGAGUUUUGGUUGAUGUUUUAAGUUUAUUUUUUGUGAAAUUUAUAAGUUUAGUUGUUUCAUAUUUAUAGCUGUUUUCAGCUAUGUUACACAAUAGUAAUAGUUUAAUCAACAUCUUUUAAGUAAUUAAUAGACAUUAGAAAACCUGUUCUUUUUUUUAAAUAAUAGUAUUCGUUUUCAAAUAUUCAUAUAAGUGUAAUGGUAAUUAUUAUUAGUCAUUAAUUGUUAAGCGUAGAUAAAAACAGUAUUUUCAUUAAUGUAUAUUUAAUUUUUUAUAUAGAGAGAGUGAAAUAGAGUAUGAAAUCCAACUUUAGAUCAUUAUCGAUAAAAUAUAUUAGUUAUCAAUGUUAUAAGUUUUAUUUUUAGUAGUAUAUUUUUAUACUAACAGUAUCAAACGUAAGAACACAAACUCGACUUUGAAAUGGUUUUAUAUAUGCCUGGUCAUUUAGCAAAUUUUCGUGUCGACGCCCGUAGUUGUUGGUGCAUAUUAAUAAGUAUUAACGAGAAUUUUUGAUAGCCAAUUUUUUAUCACCAAGCGAGUUUUCUUCUAAUUUUUACCCAAAUUUACAUGCUACUAGAAAAAAAUUUUGUGUAAAUAAUUAGCUUUGAAAUUUUUUCUAGCAUAACCAGUUUUCAUUUCAAAAUUCUUUCAAGAUGAAUUAUAGAGAAGAUAAACUGUACAUUGAGAAUUUUUAUAGGAUAGUAAAUAUAUCCUGUAUAGUAAGACACUUUUUCUCAAUGUACACAUUCUCUUAAUCCACUCAAAGUAGUAUGAAAGUGUUAUUGAAAAAAGUUCAUAGUUUAUAUAAAACUGAUUACUUUUUGUUGUGGUUAAUAACAUUGCACAAAAUUUAUGUCCAAUACAUUCAUGCGUGGAUAACAUAUAUAUUUUUAAAAAGUGUAAAUAAUAUAAAGUUUGAAUGAAAAACUAACACUGAUUAGAAAACAAACGUCUUAUUAUUUUUCAAUAAUAUAUAUUUCAAAGAAAAUACAACAGUUUAUCCAGAAAUAUAUCCUCUUUUAUAAUCACACCAGCAUUUAAAACCACGACAUUCCAACAUAUACCUAUCCUUUCUCAUACAAUGAAGUGCACAUUCUUGACAAAAACCAAUUUCGUUCGUAGCAGCAUGCUUUCCAUGAAAUUCAUAAUCGGGAAGUUGAUUUGGGCUUGCUGCUGGAUUGGAGAUAUGAGUUUUAUCGCCAAAAAUAGAUUUUGUCAUAAUAUUUGACGCACCUAUAAAACUUUUCAAACAAAUGUUAGUUAUAGUUAUUAUAUUUUAAUAAAGGUUUUUGAUAUUUUAUAUAUCAUCUUUUCUAGCAUAACUAGGCUUACAUGAUAAAACAAGAAUUAAAAGAGUGAAAAACAAAACAUUUAUCUUCAUUCCUGUUUUGGAAGUUCAACAACAGCUGUAAAAAGUGAGUUUUGGUUGAUUUUUUAAGUUUAUUUUUUGUGAAAUUUAUAAGUUUAGUUGUUUCAUAUUUAUAGCUGUUUUCAGCUAUGUUACACAGUAGUAAUAGUUUAAUCAACAUCUUUUAAGUAAUUAAUAGACAUUAGAAAACCUGUUCUUUUUUUUAAAUAAUAGUAUUCGUUUUCAAAUAUUCAUAUAAGUGUAAUGGUAAUUAUUAUUAGUCAUUAAUUGUUAAGCGUAGAUAAAAACAGUAUUUUCAUUAAUGUAUAUUUAAUUUUUUAUAUAGAGAGAGUGAAAUAGAGUAUGAAAUCCAACUUUAGAUCAUUAUCGAUAAAAUAUAUUAGUUAUCAAUGUUCUAAGUUUUAUUUUUAGUAGUAUAUUUUUAUACUAACAGUAUCAAACGUAAGAACACAAACUCGACUUUGAAAUGGUUUUAUAUAUGCCUGGUCAUUUAGCAAAUUUUCGUGUCGACGCCCGUAGUUGUUGGUGCAUAUUAAUAAGUAUUAACGAGAAUUUUUGAUAGCCAAUUUUUUAUCACCAAGCGAGUUUUCUUCUAAUUUUUACCCAAAUUUACAUGCUACUAGAAAAAAAUUUUGUGUAAAUAAUUAGCUUUGAAAUUUUUUCCAGCAUAACCAGUUUUCAUUUCAAAGUUCUUUCAAGAUGAAUUAUAGAGAAGAUAAACUGUACAUUGAGAAUUUUUAUAGGAUAGUAAAUAUAUCCUGUAUAGUAAGACACUUUUUCUCAAUGUACACUUUCUCUUAAUCCACUCAAAGUAGUAUGAAAGUGUUAUUGAAAAAAGUUCAUAGUUUAUAUAAAAUUGAUCUCUUUUUGUUGUGGUUAAUAACAUUGCACAAAAUUUAUGUCCAAUACAUUCAUGCGUAGAUAACAUAUAUAUUUUUAAAAAGUGUAAAUAAUAUAAAGUUUCAAUGAAAAACUAACACUGAUUUGAAAACAAACGUCUUAUUAUUUUUCAAUUAUAUAUAUUUCAAAGAAAAUACAACAGUUUAUCCAGGAAUAUAUCCUCUUUUAUAAUCACACCAGCAUUUAAAACCACGACAUUCCAACAUAUACCUAUCCUUUCUCAUACAAUGACGUGCACAUUCUUGACAAAAACCAAUUUCGUUCGUAGCAGCAUGGUUUCCAUGAAUUUCAUAAUCGGGAAGUUGAUUUGGGCUUGCUGCUGGAUUGGAGAUAUGAGUUUUAUCGCCAAAAAUAGAUUUUGUCAUAAUAUUUGACGCACCUAUAAAACUUUUCAAACAAAUGUUAGUUAUAGUUAUUAUAUUUUAAUAAAGGUUUUUGAUAUUUUAUAUAUUAUCUUUUCUAGCAUAACUAGGCUUACAUGAUAAAACAAGAAUUAAAAGAGUGAAAAACAAAACAUUUAUCUUCAUUCCUGUUUUGGAAGUUCAACAACAGCUGUAAAAAGUGAGUUUUGGUUGAUUUUUUAAGUUUAUUUUUUGUGAAAUUUAUAAGUUUAGUUGUUUCAUAUUUAUAGCUGUUUUCAGCUAUGUUACACAGUAGUAAUAGUUUAAUCAACAUCUUUUAAGUAAUUAAUAGACAUUAGAAAACCUGUUCUUUUUUUUAAAUAAUAGUAUUCGUUUUCAAAUAUUCAUAUAAGUGUAAUGGUAAUUAUUAUUAGUCAUUAAUUGUUAAGCGUAGAUAAAAACAGUAUUUUCAUUAAUGUAUAUUUAAUUUUUUAUAUAGAGAGAGUGAAAUAGAGUAUGAAAUCCAACUUUAGAUCAUUAUCGAUAAAAUAUAUUAGUUAUCAAUGUUCUAAGUUUUAUUUUUAGUAGUAUAUUUUUAUACUAACAGUAUCAAACGUAAGAACACAAACUCGACUUUGAAAUGGUUUUAUAUAUGCCUGGUCAUUUAGCAAAUUUUCGUGUCGACGCCCGUAGUUGUUGGUGCAUAUUAAUAAGUAUUAACGAGAAGUUUUGAUAGCCAAUUUUUUAUCACCAAGCGAGUUUUCUUCUAAUUUUUACCCAAAUUUACAUGCUACUAGAAAAAAAUUUUGUGUAAAUAAUUAGCUUUGAAAUUUUUUCUAGCAUAACCAGUUUUCAUUUCAAAGUUCUUUCAAGAUGAAUUAUAGAGAAGAUAAACUGUACAUUGAGAAUUUUUAUAGGAUAGUAAAUAUAUCCUGUAUAGUAAGACACUUUUUCUCAAUGUACACAUUCUCUUAAUCCACUCAAAGUAGUAUGAAAGUGUUAUUGAAAAAAGUUCAUAGUUUAUAUAAAAUUGAUCUCUUUAUGUUGUGGUUAAUAACAUUGCACAAAAUUUAUGUCCAAUACAUUCAUGCGUAGAUAACAUAUAUAUUUUUAAAAAGUGUAAAUAAUAUAAAGUUUCAAUGAAAAACUAACACUGAUUAGAAAACAAACGUCUUAUUAUUUUUCAAUAAUAUAUAUUUCAAAGAAAAUACAACAGUUUAUCCAGAAAUAUAUCCUCUUUUAUAAUCACACCAGCAUUUAAAACCACGACAUUCCAACAUAUACCUAUCCUUUCUCAUACAAUGAAGUGCACAUUCUUGACAAAAACCAAUUUCGUUCGUAGCAGCAUGCUUUCCAUGAAAUUCAUAAUCGGGAAGUUGAUUUGGGCUUGCUGCUGGAUUGGAGAUAUGAGUUUUAUCGCCAAAAAUAGAUUUUGUCAUAAUAUUUGACGCACCUAUAAAACUUUUCAAACAAAUGUUAGUUAUAGUUAUUAUAUUUUAAUAAAGGUUUUUGAUAUUUUAUAUAUCAUCUUUUCUAGCAUAACUAGGCUUACAUGAUAAAACAAGAAUUAAAAGAGUGAAAAACAAAACAUUUAUCUUCAUUCCUGUUUUGGAAGUUCAACAACAGCUGUAAAAAGUGAGUUUUGGUUGAUGUUUUAAGUUUAUUUUUUGUGAAAUUUAUAAGUUUAGUUGUUUCAUAUUUAUAGCUGUUUUCAGCUAUGUUACACAGUAGUAAUAGUUUAAUCAACAUCUUUUAAGUAAUUAAUAGACAUUAGAAAACCUGUUCUUUUUUUUAAAUAAUAGUAUUCGUUUUCAAAUAUUCAUAUAAGUGUAAUGGUAAUUAUUAUUAGUCAUUAAUUGUUAAGCGUAGAUAAAAACAGUAUUUUCAUUAAUGUAUAUUUAAUUUUUUAUAUAGAGAGAGUGAAAUAGAGUAUGAAAUCCAACUUUAGAUCAUUAUCGAUAAAAUAUAUUAGUUAUCAAUGUUAUAAGUUUUAUUUUUAGUAGUAUAUUUUUAUACUAACAGUAUCAAACGUAAGAACACAAACUCGACUUUCAAAUGGUUUUAUAUAUGCCUGGUCAUUUAGCAAAUUUUCGUGUCGACGCCCGUAGUUGUUGGUGCAUAUUAAUAAGUAUUAACGAGAAUUUUUGAUAGCCAAUUUUUUAUCACCAAGCGAGUUUUCUUCUAAUUUUUACCCAUAUUUACAUGCUACUGGAAAAAAUGUUGUAUAAAUAAUUAGCUUUGAAAUUUUUUCCAGCAUAACCAGUUUUCAUUUCAGAGUUCUUUCAAGAUGAAUUAUAGAGAAGAUAAACUGUACAUUGAGAGUUUUUAUACGAUAGUAAAUAUAUCUUGUAUAGUAAGACACUUUUUCUCAAUGUACACUUUCUCUUAAUCCACUCAAAGUAGUAUGAAAGUGUUACUGAAAAAAGUUCAUAGUUUCUAUAAAAUUGAUCUCUUUUUGUUGUGGUUAAUAACAUUGCACAAAAUUUAUGUCCAAUACAUUCAUGCGUAGAUAACAUAUAUAUUUUUAUAAAGUGUAAAUAAUAUAAAGUUUCAAUGAAAAACUAACACUGAUUUGAAAACAAACUUCUUAUUAUUUAACAAUAAUAUAAAUUUCAAAGAAAAUACAACAGUUUAUCCAGGAAUAUAUCCUCUUUUAUAAUCACAACAGCAUUUAAAACCACGACAUUCCAACAUAUACCUAUCCUUUCUCAUACAAUGACGUGCACAUUCUUGACAAAAACCAAUUUCGUUCGUAGCAGCAUGGUUUCCAUGAAUUUCAUAAUCGAGAAGUUGAUUUGGGCUUGCUGCUGGAUUGGACAUCUGAGUUUUAUCGCCAGAAAUAGAUUUUGUCAUAAUAUUUGACGCACCUAUAAAAUUUUUCAAACAAAUGUUAGUUAUAGUUAUUAUAUUUUAAUAAAGGUUUUUGAUAUUUUAUAUAUCAUCUUUUCUAGCAUAACUAGGCUUACAUGAUAAAACAAGAAUUAAAAGAGUGAAAAACAAAACAUUUAUCUUCAUUCCUGUUUUGGAAGUUCAACAACAGCUGUAAAAAGUGAGUUUUGGUUGAUGUUUUAAGUUUAUUUUUUUGUGAAAUUUAUAAGUUUAGUUGUGUCAUAUUUAUAGCUGUUUUCACUUAUGUUACACAAUAGUAAUAGUUUAAUCAACAUCUUUUAAGUAAUUAAUAGACAUUAGAAAACCUGUUCUUUUUUUUAAAUAAUAGUAUUCGUUUUCAAAUAUUCAUAUAAGUGUAAUGGUAAUUAUUAUUAGUCAUUAAUUGUUAAGCGUAGAUAAAAACAGUAUUUUCAUUAAUGUAUAUUUAAUUUUUUAUAUAGAGAGAGUGAAAUAGAGUAUGAAAUCCAACUUUAGAUCAUUAUCGAUAAAAUAUAUUAGUUAUCAAUGUUAUAAGUUUUAUUUUUAGUAGUAUAUUUUUAUACUAACAGUAUCAAACGUAAGAACACAAACUCGACUUUGAAAUUGUUUUAUAUAUGCCUGGUCAUUUAGCAAAUUUUCGUGUCGACGCCCGUAGUUGUUGGUGCAUAUUAAUAAGUAUUAACGAGAAUUUUUGAUAGCCAAUUUUUUAUCACCAAGCGAGUUUUCUUCUAAUUUUUACCCAAAUUUACAUGCUACUAGAAAAAAAUUUUGUGUAAAUAAUUAGCUUUGAAAUUUUUUCCAGCAUAACCAGUUUUCAUUUCAAAGUUCUUUCAAGAUGAAUUAUAGAGAAGAUAAACUGUACAUUGAGAAUUUUUAUAGGAUAGUAAAUAUAUCCUGUAUAGUAAGACACUUUUUCUCAAUGUACACUUUCUCUUAAUCCACUCAAAGUAGUAUGAAAGUGUUAUUGAAAAAAGUUCAUAGUUUAUAUAAAAUUGAUCUCUUUUUGUUGUGGUUAAUAACAUUGCACAAAAUUUAUGUCCAAUACAUUCAUGCGUAGAUAACAUAUAUAUUUUUAAAAAGUGUAAAUAAUAUAAAGUUUCAAUGAAAAACUAACACUGAUUUGAAAACAAACGUCUUAUUAUUUUUCAAUUAUAUAUAUUUCAAAGAAAAUACAACAGUUUAUCCAGGAAUAUAUCCUCUUUUAUAAUCACACCAGCAUUUAAAACCACGACAUUCCAACAUAUACCUAUCCUUUCUCAUACAAUGACGUGCACAUUCUUGACAAAAACCAAUUUCUUUCGUAGCAGCAUGGUUUCCAUGAAUUUCAUAAUCGGGAAGUUGAUUUGGGCUUGCUGCUGGAUUGGAGAUAUGAGUUUUAUCGCCAAAAAUAGAUUUUGUCAUAAUAUUUGACGCACCUAUAAAACUUUUCAAACAAAUGUUAGUUAUAGUUAUUAUAUUUUAAUAAAGGUUUUUGAUAUUUUAUAUAUCAUCUUUUCUAGCAUAACUAGGCUUACAUGAUAAAACAAGAAUUAAAAGAGUGAAAAACAAAACAUUUAUCUUCAUUCCUGUUUUGGAAGUUCAACAACAGCUGUAAAAAGUGAGUUUUGGUUGAUGUUUUAAGUUUAUUUUUUGUGAAAUUUAUAAGUUUAGUUGUUUCAUAUUUAUAGCUGUUUUCAGCUAUGUUACACAGUAGUAAUAGUUUAAUCAACAUCUUUUAAGUAAUUAAUAGACAUUAGAAAACCUGUUCUUUUUUUUAAAUAAUAGUAUUCGUUUUCAAAUAUUCAUAUAAGUGUAAUGGUAAUUAUUAUUAGUCAUUAAUUGUUAAGCGUAGAUAAAAACAGUAUUUUCAUUAAUGUAUAUUUAAUUUUUUAUAUAGAGAGAGUGAAAUAGAGUAUGAAAUCCAACUUUAGAUCAUUAUCGAUAAAUAUAUUAGUUAUCAAUGUUAUAAGUUUUAUUUUUAGUAGUAUAUUUUUAUACUAACAGUAUCAAACGUAAGAACACAAACUCGACUUUGAAAUGGUUUUAUAUAUGCCUGGUCAUUUAGCAAAUUUUCGUGUCGACGCCCGUAGUUGUUGGUGCAUAUUAAUAAGUAUUAAAGAGAAUUUUUGAUAGCCAAUUUUUUAUCACCAAGCGAGUUUUCUUCUAAUUUUUACCCAUAUUUACAUGCUACUGGAAAAAUUUUUGUGUAAAUAAUUAGCUUUGAAAUUUUUUCCAGCAUAACCAGUUUUCAUUUCAGAGUUCUUUCAAGAUGAAUUAUAGAGAAGAUAAACUGUACAUUGAGAGUUUUUAUAGGAUAGUAAAUAUAUCUUGUAUAGUAAGACACUUUUUCUCAAUGUACACUUUCUCUUAAUCCACUCAAAGUAGUAUGAAAGUGUUAUUGAAAAAAGUUCAUAGUUUCUAUAAAAUUGAUCUCUUUUUGUUGUGGUUAAUAACAUUGCACAAAAUUUAUGUCCAAUACAUUCAUGCGUAGAUAACAUAUAUAUUUUUAUAAAGGGUAAAUAAUAUAAAGUUUCAAUGAAAAACUAACACUGAUUUGAAAACAAACUUCUUAUUAUUUAACAAUAAUAUAAAUUUCAAAGAAAAUACAACAGUUUAUCCAGGAAUAUAUCCUCUUUUAUAAUCACAACAGCAUUUAAAACCACGACAUUCCAACAUAUACCUAUCCUUUCUCAUACAAUGACGUGCACAUUCUUGACAAAAACCAAUUUCGUUCGUAGCAGCAUGGUUUCCAUGAAUUUCAUAAUCGAGAAGUUGAUUUGGGCUUGCUGCUGGAUUGGACAUCUGAGUUUUAUCGCCAGAAAUAGAUUUUGUCAUAAUAUUUGACGCACCUAUAAAAUUUUUCAAACAAAUGUUAGUUAUAGUUAUUAUAUUUUAAUAAAGGUUUUUUAUAUUUUAUAUAUCAUCUUUUCUAGCAAAACUAGACUUACAUGAUAAAACAAGAAUUAAAAUAGUGAAAAACAAAACAUUUAUCUUCAUUCCUGUUUUGGAAGUUCAACAACAGCUGUAAAAAGUGAGUUUUGGUUGAUGUUUUAAGUUUAUUUUUUUGUGAAAUUUAUAAGUUUAGUUGUGUCAUAUUUAUAGCUGUUUUCACUUAUGUUACACAAUAGUAAUAGUUUAAUCAACAUCUUUUAAGUAAUUAAUAGACAUUAGAAAAACUGUUCUUUUUUUUAAAUAAUAGUAUUCGUUUUCAAAUAUUCAUAUAAGUGUAAUGGUAAUUAUUAUUAGUCAUUAAUUGUUAAGCGUAGAUAAAAACAGUAUUUUCAUUAUUGUAUAUUUAAUUUUUGAUAUAGAGAGAGUGAAAUAGAGUAUGAAAUCCAACUUUAGAUCAUUAUCGAUAAAAUAUAUUAGUUAUCAAUGUUAUAAGUUUUAUUUUUAGUAGUAUAUUUUUAUACUAACAGUAUCAAACGUAAGAACACAAACUCGACUUUGAAAUGGUUUUAUAUAUGCCUGGUCAUUUAGCAAAUUUUCGUGUCGACGCCCGUAGUUGUUGGUGCAUAUUAAUAAGUAUUAAAGAGAAUUUUUGAUAGCCAAUUUUUUAUCACCAAGCGAGUUUUCUUCUAAUUUUUACCCAUAUUUACAUGCUACUAGAAAAAAUUUUGUGUAAAUAAUUAGCUUUGAAAUUUUUUCCAGCAUAACCAGUUUUCAUUUCAGAGUUCUUUCAAGAUGAAUUAUAGAGAAGAUAAACUGUACAUUGAGAGUUUUUAUAGGAUAGUAAAUAUAUCUUGUAUAGUAAGACACUUUUUCUCAAUGUACACUUUCUCUUAAUCCACUCAAAGUAGUAUGAAAGUGUUAUUGAAAAAAGUUCAUAGUUUCUAUAAAAUUGAUCUCUUUUUGUUGUGGUUAAUAACAUUGCACAAAAUUUAUGUCCAAUACAUUCAUGCGUAGAUAACAUAUAUAUUUUUAUAAAGUGUAAAUAAUAUAAAGUUUCAAUGAAAAACUAACACUGAUUUGAAAACAAACUUCUUAUUAUUUUUCAAUAAUAUAAAUUUCAAAGAAAAUACAACAGUUUAUCCAGGAAUAUAUCCUCUUUUAUAAUCACAACAGCAUUUAAAACCACGACAUUCCAACAUAUACCUAUCCUUUCUCAUACAAUGACGUGCACAUUCUUGACAAAAACCAAUUUCGUUCGUAGCAGCAUGGUUUCCAUGAAUUUCAUAAUCGAGAAGUUGAUUUGGGCUUGCUGCUGGAUUGGACAUCUGAGUUUUAUCGCCAGAAAUAGAUUUUGUCAUAAUAUUUGACGCACCUAUAAUUUUUUUCAAACAAAUGUUAGUUAUAGUUAUUAUAUUUUAAUAAAGGUUUUUGAUAUUUUAUAUAUCAUCUUUUCUAGCAAAACUAGACAUACAUGAUAAAACAAGAAUUAAAAGAGUGAAAAACAAAACAUUUAUCUUCAUUCCUGUUUUGGAAGUUCAACAACAGCUGUAAAAAGUGAGUUUUGGUUGAUGUUUUAAGUUUAUUUUUUUGUGAAAUUUAUAAGUUUAGUUUUGUCAUAUUUAUAGCUGUUUUCACCUAUGUUACACAAUAGUAAUAGUUUAAUCAACAUCUUUUAAGUAAUUAAUAGACAUUAGAAAAACUGUUCUUUUUUUUUUUAAAAUAAUAGUAUUCGUUUUCAAAUAUUCAUAUAAGUGUAAUGGUAAUUAUUAUUAGUCAUUAAUUGUUAAGCGUAGAUAAAAACAGUAUUUUCAUUAUUGUAUAUUUAAUUUUUUAUAUAGAGAGAGUGAAAUAAAGUAUGAAAUCCAACUUGAGAUCAUUAUCGAUAAAAUAUAUUAGUUAUCAAUGUUAUAAGUUUUAUGUUUAGUAGUAUAUUUUUAUACUAACAGUAUCAAAUGUAAGAACACAAACUCGACUUUGAAAUGGUUUUAUAUAUGCCUGGUGUUUUAAAAAAUUUUUGUGUCGACGCACGUAGUUGUUGGUGCAUAUUAAUAAAUAUUAAAGAGAAUUUUUGAUAGCUAAUUUUUUAUCACCAAGCGAGUUUUCUCCGAAUUUUUACCCAUAUUUACAUGGUACUAGAACAAAUUUUUGUGUAAUAAUUAGCUUUGAAAUUUUUUCCAGCAUAACCAGUUUUCAUUUCAGAGUUCUUUCAAGAUGAAUUAUAGAGAAGAGAAACUGUACAUUGAGAGUUUUUAUAGGAUAGUAAAUAUAUUCUGUAUAGUAAGACACUUUUUCUCAAUGUACACUUUCUCUUAAUCCACUCAAAGUAGUAUGAAAGUGUUAUUGAAAAAAGUUCAUAGUUUAUAUAAAAUUGAUCUCUUUUUGUUGUGGUUAAUAACAUUGCACAAAAUUUAUGUCCAAUACAUUCAUGCGUAGAUAACACAUAUAUUUUUAUAAAGUGUAAAUAAUAUAAAGUUUCAAUGAAAAACUAACACUGAUUUGAAAACAAACGUCUUAUUAUUUUUCAAUAAUAUAUAUUUCAAAGAAAAUACAACAGUUUAUCCAGGAAUAUAUCCUCUUUUAUAAUCACACCAGCAUUUAAAACCACGACAUUCCAACAUAUACCUAUCCUUUCUCAUACAAUGACGUGCACAUUCUUGACAAAAACCAAUUUCGUUCGUAGCAGCAUGGUUUCCAUGAAUUUCAUAAUCGGGAAGUUGAUUUGGGCUUGCUGCUGGAUUGGACGUAUGAGUUUUAUCGCCAGAAAUAGAUUUUGUCAUAUUAUUUGACGCACCUAUAAAAUUUUUCAAACAAAUGUUAGUUAUAGUUAUUAUAUUUUAAUAAAGGUUUUUGAUAUUUUAUAUAUCAUCUUUUCUAGCAAAACUAGACAUACAUGAUAAAACAAGAAUUAAAAGAGUGAAAAACAAAACAUUUAUCUUCAUUCCUGUUUUGGAAGUUCAACAACAGCUGUAAAAAGUGAGUUUUGGUUGAUGUUUUAAGUUUAUUUUUUUGUGAAAUUUAUAAGUUUAGUUGUGUCAUAUUUAUAGCUGUUUUCACUUAUGUUACACAAUAGUAAUAGUUUAAUCAACAUCUUUUAAGUAAUUAAUAGACAUUAGAAAAACUGUUCUUUUUUUUAAAUAAUAGUAUUUGUUUUCAAAUAUUCAUAUAAGUGUAAUGGUAAUUAUUAUUAGUCAUUAAUUGUUAAGCGUAGAUAAAAACAGUAUUUUCAUUAUUGUAUAUUUAUUUUUUGAUAUAGAGAGAGUGAAAUAGAGUAUGAAAUUUAACUUUAGAUCAUUAUCGAUAAAAUAUAUUAGUUAUCAAUGUUAUAAGUUUUAUGUUUAGUAGUAUAUUUUUAUACUAACAGUAUCAAAUGUAAGAACACAAACUCGACUUUGAAAUGGUUUUAUAUAUGCCUGGUGAUUUAACAAAUUUUUGUGUCGACGCACGUAGUUGUUGGUGCAUAUUAAUAAAUAUUAAAGAGAAUUUUUGAUAGCUAAUUUUUUAUCACCAAGCGAGUUUUCUCCGAAUUUUUACCCAUAUUUACAUGGUACUAGAACAAAUUUUUGUGUAAAUAAUUAGCUUUGAAAUUUUUUCCAGCAUAACCAGUUUUCAUUUCAGAGUUCUUUCAAGAUGAAUUAUAGAGAAGAGAAACUGUACAUUGAGAGUUUUUAUAGGAUAGUAAAUAUAUUCUGUAUAGUAAGACACUUUUUCUCAAUGUACACAUUCUCUUAAUCCACUCAAAGUAGUAUGAAAGUGUUAUUGAAAAAAGUUCAUAGUUUAUAUAAAAUUGAUCUCUUUUUGUUGUGGUUAAUAACAUUGCACAAAAUUUAUGUCCAAUACAUUCAUGCGUAGAUAACACAUAUAUUUUUAUAAAGUGUAAAUAAUAUAAAGUUUCAAUGAAAAACUAACACUGAUUUGAAAACAAACGUCUUAUUAUUUUUCAAUAAUAUAUAUUUCAAAGAAAAUACAACAGUUUAUCCAGGAAUAUAUCCUCUUUUAUAAUCACACCAGCAUUUAAAACCACGACAUUCCAACAUAUACCUAUCCUUUCUCAUACAAUGACGUGCACAUUCUUGACAAAAACCAAUUUCGUUCGUAGCAGCAUGGUUUCCAUGAAUUUCAUAAUCGGGAAGUUGAUUUGGGCUUGCUGCUGGAUUGGACGUAUGAGUUUUAUCGCCAGAAAUAGAUUUUGUCAUAUUAUUUGACGCACCUAUAAAAUUUUUCAAACAAAUGUUAGUUAUAGUUAUUAUAUUUUAAUAAAGGUUUUUUAUAUUUUAUAUAUCAUCUUUUCUAGCAAAACUAGACUUACAUGAUAAAACAAGAAUUAAAAGAGUGAAAAACAAAACAUUUAUCUUCAUUCCUGUUUUGGAAGUUCAACAACAGCUGUAAAAAGUGAGUUUUGGUUGAUGUUUUAAGUUUAUUUUUUUGUGAAAUUUAUAAGUUUAGUUGUGUCAUAUUUAUAGCUGUUUUCACUUAUGUUACACAAUAGUAAUAGUUUAAUCAACAUCUUUUAAGUAAUUAAUAGACAUUAGAAAAACUGUUCUUUUUUUUAAAUAAUAGUAUUCGUUUUCAAAUAUUCAUAUAAGUGUAAUGGUAAUUAUUAUUAGUCAUUAAUUGUUAAGCGUAGAUAAAAACAGUAUUUUCAUUAUUGUAUAUUUAUUUUUUGAUAUAGAGAGAGUGAAAUAGAGUAUGAAAUUUAACUUUAGAUCAUUAUCGAUAAAAUAUAUUAGUUAUCAAUGUUAUAAGUUUUAUUUUUAGUAGUAUAUUUUUAUACUAACAGUAUCAAAUGUAAGAACACAAACUCGACUUUGAAAUGGUUUUAUAUAUGCCUGGUGUUUUAAAAAAUUUUUGUGUCGACGCACGUAGUUGUUGGUGCAUAUUAAUAAAUAUUAAAGAGAAUUUUUGAUAGCUAAUUUUUUAUCACCAAGCGAGUUUUCUCCGAAUUUUUACCCAUAUUUACAUGGUACUAGAACAAAUUUUUGUGUAAAUAAUUAGCUUUGAAAUUUUUUCCAGCAUAACCAGUUUUCAUUUCAGAGUUCUUUCAAGAUGAAUUAUAGAGAAGAGAAACUGUACAUUGAGAGUUUUUAUAGGAUAGUAAAUAUAUUCUGUAUAGUAAGACACUUUUUCUCAAUGUACACAUUCUCUUAAUCCACUCAAAGUAGUAUGAAAGUGUUAUUGAAAAAAGUUCAUAGUUUAUAUAAAAUUGAUCUCUUUUUGUUGUGGUUAAUAACAUUGCACAAAAUUUAUGUCCAAUACAUUCAUGCGUAGAUAACAUAUAUAUUUUUAAAAAAUGUAAAUAAUAUAAAGUUUCAAUGAAAAACUAACACUGAUUUGAAAACAAACGUCUUAUUAUUUUUCAAUAAUAUAUAUUUCAAAGAAAAUACAACAGUUUAUCCAGGAAUAUAUCCUCUUUUAUAAUCACACCAGCAUUUAAAACCACGACAUUCCAACAUAUACCUAUCCUUUCUCAUACAAUGACGUGCACAUUCUUGACAAAAACCAAUUUCGUUCGUAGCAGCAUGGUUUCCAUGAAUUUCAUAAUCGGGAAGUUGAUUUGGGCUUGCUGCUGGAUUGGACGUAUGAGUUUUAUCGCCAGAAAUAGAUUUUGUCAUAUUAUUUGACGCACCUAUAAAAUUUUUCAAACAAAUGUUAGUUAUAGUUAUUAUAUUUUAAUAAAGGUUUUUUAUAUUUUAUAUAUCAUCUUUUCUAGCAAAACUAGACUUACAUGAUAAAACAAGAAUUAAAAGAGUGAAAAACAAAACAUUUAUCUUCAUUCCUGUUUUGGAAGUUCAACAACAGCUGUAAAAAGUGAGUUUUGGUUGAUGUUUUAAGUUUAUUUUUUUGUGAAAUUUAUAAGUUUAGUUGUGUCAUAUUUAUAGCUGUUUUCACUUAUGUUACACAAUAGUAAUAGUUUAAUCAACAUCUUUUAAGUAAUUAAUAGACAUUAGAAAAACUGUUCUUUUUUUUAAAUAAUAGUAUUCGUUUUCAAAUAUUCAUAUAAGUGUAAUGGUAAUUACUAUUAGUCAUUAGUUGUUAAGCGUAGAUAAAAACAGUAUUUUCAUUACUGUAUAUUUAAUUUUUGAUAUAGAGAGAGUGAAAUAGAGUAUGAAAUCCAACUUUAGAUCAUUAUCGAUAAAAUAUAUUAGUUAUCAAUGUUAUAAGUUUUAUUUUUAGUAAUAUAUUUUUAUACUAACAGUAUCAAAUGUAAGAACACAAACUCGACUUUGAAAUGGUUUUAUAUAUACCUGGUCAUUUAGCAAAUUUUCGUGUCGACGCCCGUAGUUGUUGGUGCAUAUUAAUAAGUAUUAAAGAGAAUUUUUGAUAGCCAAUUUUUUAUCACCAAGCGAGUUUACUUCUAAUUUUUACCCAUAUUUACAUGGUACUAGAAAAACUUUUUGUGUAAAUAAUUAGCUUUGAAAUUUUUUCCAGCAUAACCAGUUUUCAUUUCAGAGUUCUUUCAAGAUGAAUUAUAGAGAAGAUAAACUGUACAUUGAGAAUUUUUAUAGGAUAGUAAAUAUAUCUUGUAUAGUAAGACACUUAUGUACACUUUCUCUUAAUCCACUCAAAGUAGUAUGAAAGUGUUAUUGAAAAUAGUUCAUAGUUUCUAUAAAAUUGAUCUCUUUUUGUUGUGGUUAAUAACAUUGCACAAAAUUUAUGUCCAAUACAUUCAUGCGUAGAUAACAUAUAUAUUUUUAUAAAGUGUAAAUAAUAUAAAGUUUCAAUGAAAAACUAACACUGAUUUGAAAACAAACUUCUUAUUAUUUUUCAAUAAUAUAAAUUUCAAAGAAAAUACAACAGUUUAUCCAGGAAUAUAUCCUCUUUUAUAAUCACACCAGCAUUUAAAACCACGACAUUCCAACAUAUACCUAUCCUUUCUCAUACAAUGACGUGCACAUUCUUGACAAAAACCAAUUUCGUUCGUAGCAGCAUGGUUUCCAUGAAUUUCAUAAUCGGGAAGUUGAUUUGGGCUUCCUGCUGGAUUGGACGUAUGAGUUUUAUCGCCAGAAAUAGAUUUUGUCAUAAUAUUUGACGCACCUAUAAAUUUUUCAAACAAAUGUUAGUUAUAGUUAUUAUAUUUUAAUAAAGGUUUUUGAUAUUUGAUAUAUCAUCUUUUCUAGCAAAACUAGACUUACAUGAUAAAACAAGAAUUAAAAGAGUGAAAAACAAAACAUUUAUCUUCAUUCCUGUUUUGGAAGUUCAACAACAGCUGUAAAAAGUGAGUUUUGGUUGAUGUUUUAAGUUUAUUUUUUUUGUGAAAUUUAUAAGUUUAGUUGUGUCAUAUUUAUAGCUGUUUUCACCUAUGUUACACAAUAGUAAUAGUUUAAUCAACAUCUUUUAAGUAAUUAAUAGACAUUAGAAAAACUGUUCUUUUUAAAAAUAAUAGUAUUCGUUUUCAAAUAUUCAUAUAAGUGUAAUGGUAAUUAUUAUUAGUCAUUAAUUGUUAAGCGUAGAUAAAAACAGUAUUUUUAUUAUUGUAUAUUUAAUUUUUUAUAUAGAGAGAGUGAAAUAGAGUAUGAAAUCCAACUUUAGAUCAUUAUCGAUAAAAUAUAUUAGUUAUCAAUGUUAUAAGUUUUAUUUUUAGUAGUAUAUUUUUAUACUAACAGUAUCAAAUGUAAGAACACAAACUUGACUUUGAAAUGGUUUUAUAUAUGCCUGGUGAUUUAGCAAAUUUUCGUGUCGCACACGUAGUUGUUGGUGCAUAUUAAUAAGUAUUAAAGAGAAUUUUUGAUAGCCAAUUUUUUAUCACCAAGCGAGUUUUCUCCGAAUUUUUACCCAUAUUUACAUGGUACUAGAACAAAUUUUUUUGUAAAUAAUUAGCUUUGAAAUUUUUUUCUAGCAUAACCAGUUUUCAUUUCAGAUUUCUUUCAAGAUGAAUUAUAGAGAAGAGAAACUGUACAUUGAGAAUUUUUAUAGGAUAGUAAAUAUAUCCUGUAUAGUAAGACACUUUUUCUCAAUGUACACAUUCUCUUAAUCCACUCAAAGUAGUAUGAAAGUGUUAUUGAAAAAAGUUCAUAGUUUAUAUAAAAUUGAUCUCUUUUUGUUGUGGUUAAUAACAUUGCACAAAAUUUAUGUCCAAUACAUUCAUGCGUAGAUAACACAUAUAUUUUUAUAAAGUGUAAAUAAUAUAAAGUUUCAAUGAAAAACUAACACUGAUUUGAAAACAAACGUCUUAUUAUUUUUCAAUAAUAUAUAUUUCAAAGAAAAUACAACAGUUUAUCCAGGAAUAUAUCCUCUUUUAUAAUCACACCAGCAUUUAAAACCACGACAUUCCAACAUAUACCUAUCCUUUCUCAUACAAUGACGUGCACAUUCUUGACAAAAACCAAUUUCGUUCGUAGCAGCAUGGUUUCCAUGAAUUUCAUAAUCGGGAAGUUGAUUUGGGCUUGCUGUUGGAUUGGAGAUAUGAGUUUUAUCGCCAGAAAUAGAUUUUGUCAUAAUAUUUGACGCACCUAUAAAAUUUUUCAAACAAAUGUUAGUUAUAGUUAUUAUAUUUUAAUAAAGGUUUUUGAUAUUUGAUAUAUCAUCUUUUCUAGCAAAACUAGACUUACAUGAUAAAACAAGAAUUAAAAGAGUGAAAAACAAAACAUUUAUCUUCAUUCCUGUUUUGGAAGUUCAACAACAGCUGUAAAAAGUGAGUUUUGGUUGAUGUUUUAAGUUUAUUUUUUUGUGAAAUUUAUAAGUUUAGUUGUGUCAUAUUUAUAGCUGUUUUCACUUAUGUUACACAAUAGUAAUAGUUUAAUCAACAUCUUUUAAGUAAUUAAUAGACAUUAGAAAAACUGUUCUUUUUUUUAAAUAAUAGUAUUCGUUUUCAAAUAUUCAUAUAAGUGUAAUGGUAAUUACUAUUAGUCAUUAGUUGUUAAGCGUAGAUAAAAACAGUAUUUUCAUUACUGUAUAUUUAAUUUUUGAUAUAGAGAGAGUGAAAUAGAGUAUGAAAUCCAACUUUAGAUCAUUAUCGAUAAAAUAUAUUAGUUAUCAAUGUUAUAAGUUUUAUUUUUAGUAAUAUAUUUUUAUACUAACAGUAUCAAAUGUAAGAACACAAACUCGACUUUGAAAUGGUUUUAUAUAUACCUGGUCAUUUAGCAAAUUUUCGUGUCGACGCCCGUAGUUGUUGGUGCAUAUUAAUAAGUAUUAAAGAGAAUUUUUGAUAGCCAAUUUUUUAUCACCAAGCGAGUUUACUUCUAAUUUUUACCCAUAUUUACAUGGUACUAGAAAAACUUUUUGUGUAAAUAAUUAGCUUUGAAAUUUUUUCCAGCAUAACCAGUUUUCAUUUCAGAGUUCUUUCAAGAUGAAUUAUAGAGAAGAUAAACUGUACAUUGAGAAUUUUUAUAGGAUAGUAAAUAUAUCUUGUAUAGUAAGACACUUAUGUACACUUUCUCUUAAUCCACUCAAAGUAGUAUGAAAGUGUUAUUGAAAAUAGUUCAUAGUUUCUAUAAAAUUGAUCUCUUUUUGUUGUGGUUAAUAACAUUGCACAAAAUUUAUGUCCAAUACAUUCAUGCGUAGAUAACAUAUAUAUUUUUAUAAAGUGUAAAUAAUAUAAAGUUUCAAUGAAAAACUAACACUGAUUUGAAAACAAACUUCUUAUUAUUUUUCAAUAAUAUAAAUUUCAAAGAAAAUACAACAGUUUAUCCAGGAAUAUAUCCUCUUUUAUAAUCACACCAGCAUUUAAAACCACGACAUUCCAACAUAUACCUAUCCUUUCUCAUACAAUGACGUGCACAUUCUUGACAAAAACCAAUUUCGUUCGUAGCAGCAUGGUUUCCAUGAAUUUCAUAAUCGGGAAGUUGAUUUGGGCUUCCUGCUGGAUUGGACGUAUGAGUUUUAUCGCCAGAAAUAGAUUUUGUCAUAAUAUUUGACGCAC
This 57676-nucleotide long non-coding RNA is filed under the name Eutrema salsugineum. RNAcentral's name for it is "long non-coding RNA (ESAL_LNC001512)". Lineage: Eukaryota; Viridiplantae; Streptophyta; Magnoliopsida; Brassicales; Brassicaceae. The record is from RNAcentral.